Molecule: long non-coding RNA, 73804 nt
Filed under: Eucalyptus grandis
Lineage: Eukaryota; Viridiplantae; Streptophyta; Magnoliopsida; Myrtales; Myrtaceae
Description: long non-coding RNA (EGRA_LNC001416)
Source: RNAcentral
GCAUCCCAGAAAUAGGUUGCCCAUGAUUUCCUUUCAUUUAUGAAUAAGCAUGCGAUGUCAAGAAAAAUUUCUUUUUCCAUGUCUCCUAAUGCAUCGUAACUUAUCUUCAACUUAUCCUUGACCUCAUUAAGAGGUGCUUUCUACAACUUUUUGAGCAUUUCUUCCCAUAUUUUUUUCCCUUUGCGAGGAAGAGAGGAACCUAUGACUUCAAGAGCCAAUAGGAGUCCCCUUGUUGAGAGAGACUCUUAUAGGUAUUGGGAGGAGAGACGCUUUUAAAAGCAUGCCAAGUGAAAAGCUCUAGCGCUUUAUUAGGAUCCAAUUGCUUUAAUUAAUAAGCUAAUAUUCCCUCUUCUUCAUCCAGAAUUCGCUUAUCCCUUGUUGUAAUGAUAAUCAUGCUCUCACAGCAAAAAGUGCCGAACCUCCCCCCAAGUGUUCUUUAGUGUCUAGAUCAUCUAGAGCAAUGAGAGCUUUCUUAGAAGCAGCUCUCCUCCUUAUGCUAUCUAUCCCUUCAUUAGUGUUACUAAAAUUUUCUACAAAUCGAGAAUCAUAGAUGUCGACUGUCAAUUGUUUCUGCAGAUUUACUAGGCCAUUUCCUUUUGAUGAUUCUCGGAUUUUUUCAAUGAAGCUGCAUUGGCAGUCAAAGCAAGGACAUAAUUUAUUGAAAAUGAUCUUAGUGAGAGUAGUUUUAAAUACCACCAUUCCAUGGAUUCCAACGAAACACACACCAAUGCUAGAGUCAACAUCUAACAACUUUGUUGUGGCUUCUACUUGCUCGUCUACCCCAACCAAUUUGCUGUCCAUAGGUCUUUGUUUUAGUUUCAUCUUAUGCAGAACUCUGUCACAACGAGAUCAAUGACUUCACCGUAUUUGCCACAAACCAAACACUUUUAGUAAAAGAAAACAAAUAACAAUAUCAACACUACUUCCUAGGAGAUAGAAUUUGAGUUGGAUCACUAUUUCAAGUCUUCGGUUAAAGCCGCAAUAAUUUUGGCGUUAUAGACGCUGCAAGAUACGAUUGUUGUUAUGCCAAUAAACUUACAAUUUCCCCCUAUUUCUAAAAAAGAAGAUGUUUCUUUGUGGUCCAAAUUACAUACAUCAUUCUAGAAUUAGAGCAAAUUCACUCAUAUUACUAUCACUAACCAAACUGGCCCUGCUUAUGUGAGAAUUGGUGAAUUGUCUCUAAUUUUCUUUUCUCCGGGUGGGAAAUGAAAUUUACUAUUCAUAUACCAAAAAUUGGUUGGUAAUAUGAUGCAUCGACCAGUAUAUUUUGAAUCAAAUUUCUUAACCACUCCAGCUAGUUUUCGCUAUCAUUAACAAGAACCCUAAGAGAACAACAUUUCGACUCGCUUGGAAAAUCUUAUGUAAAUAAGCAUUUACUUACGCUUUCUCUUAGACUUCCCAUUCGGAGGCUGUGAUGUCAAAGAAGAUGGGAAGGAUCUCUGGCUUCCUAGUCGACUCGUUGAGCUCCGUCACAUGAGCAAGCUCUCAGAGGCACCAAGCACUUGAAGCAUAGCCUCUAGAGAGGACCGGUAUGUAGAUUUUGGAGUUGCUGACUGCUCUCAAGAGAUCGUUGAUUCAAUCACUAACGUGAAGCUAUUGGGAAAAUAUAACUUCGAAUUGGGUAGAACAAUGAAGUCGGAUCUUUAGAGUAAUCAAAUUGGACUUUGAGGCGUGAUAUCACUUUCUUUAAGAAUUUAUUUGCCCCACAACGUUACUAAUGGUCACCGGUAAAUUUCCUUCAGGAUACAACAAAGUCUCACAAUGAGAAUACUGGAUAGCAAUUUUAGUAUUUCUAUAGGGUCUCUAUAGGAAACAAUUGAAAUGAUAGCUAUAGUUUUUUUCUCAGAAAGAAUGCUUGAAAAGAUAAAAAUGAUCACAUACACGUUUUUUCUGAAAACUGACAUGUAUAUAUAAAACAAUCUUAAAACAUAGGCAACUCUUCGUGAAAAAUUACAAAAAUGAACGAACGCGUCCUUUCGAAAAAUUGCCCAUAUGAACAAAGGCGUCUAUCAGAAGAAGUUGAAAAAACGAACAAAUGUAACCCUUUUGGAAAAGUUACAAGUAUCUUUUUCUAAAGGUUGUUUUGAAAAGACACAAUUAAAAAUUUGAAAUAAAAAUUAUUAUAAUUAUUAUUUGUUUAAUAAAUAAAAUUUCCAUAUUUUUUUUAAAUUUUCGAAAUUCUCAAUAAACAAAAACAACCUUUGAAACCCCAAUCAUUUGCGCACCCGCACGUGGGUAUGGUGGGGUCUAACCCACAUCAAAUCAUUUCUUUGGGUACACUAAAUAAAAUGCCACAAUUAUUAAUUGGCUCACUUUCUUCCACUUUUCCUAUGUGAGAUGAGGAAACAUGCACUUAGUUUGUUUUUACAAACAAACUUCUAGCAGAAGCUCUUCACUAUCUCUAUAGGCGACGAUCCCCUGGCCGACCAUGGUCCGAUAGAGGCAGUUGGUGAAGGUGUUGCAAGUGUCAGGGCCUCUAAAACUCAGAGGCACAUCAUAUUGGGUCGUUGAUGUGCCCAAACCACGGGUCGCUUCCAUAUUUUUUUGGGGUUUACCCUCACAAAAGGUCUCUCCGUCUCGCUCUGGUUUUUGCUUGGAGCUGCGUCUUCGGUUGUAUUAAAAAGUGGGAAUCAUGUGAAUGCAUAAACCGAUUUCAAGGAAUCCGUCAAAGCCUCUUCCUUGAAAUGGACCUCUCACCCGCAAGCAAGAAUGGAUGUUCCUGGAUCGGCCAUCGAAGCUUAAAUUAAAAAAGAAACGACCCUCAAAACGUCCUUGUACAGACAAGACUCAACUCCCUGUCAAGCACGAAAAUAUUCCCAAGUAAAAUAUUUUUAGGCCUAAUUCCAUAUUAAAGCACCGACUUCGCAUGAAAUCAAGCAAACCAUUACUAGCAGCUGAGAACAACAGAUAUUCCUUGUAGACUACUCGAGCAGUAACCAGAACAUACAUAGUAACUGCCCAAAUAUCCAAGAGAGUUGCGGAACUUGUUACUAAAGACCAGAGCACACCAAUUCAGGUUCGGCUAAACUGAAGGAAUGUUUCUUCAUGUGCAAUGUUCACAUCCAACUUGGAAUACACCUUCAUGUACGAAAAAAGCACUAGUAGCGUAUUUUGUGCUCUGAGAAUUGAUUUUAGACAUGAUCUGAAAAUAGGGCAUCUUUGAUUACUUCAUGGUGUGGGAAUAUCCAACAAAUUGAAGAAAAUUAAGAGUCGAUUCCAAACGCUAGGAGAAAAGGGAGCCUCAAUAAUCAGAAAAUUUUAAGGAGGAUUGAAACAUGGUAAAACGCCACUAUCGAGUUCCUAAUUUUAGAGAUCGAUGGAAACCAGAAAGAGGGGCUGUGAUUGAUAGAUGCGAAAGAGAGAAAUUAUGGUGACGCCUGUUGGAGAAAUCCUCGUUAAGAGUUUUGAAGUUGACAAAACGUUUCCAUCAGUCUAGUCUGAAGGUCAGCAGACUCUGUUGGUUAAAGUCUAAAGACUUCCGGACAGCCAGACUCAAGACUCAAAGUCUAUCCUCAUUGACAGUCACUGAUCCGUUGAAGAAAGGUUAUCCCGAACUGAAUGUUUUGUUCAGGAUUUAACCUUAUCAUCUGGAGAAGAUCUCAUGGCUGGAGAAGACGUAUCAGAAUCCUUUGAUUGAUCAAAUUUGAUUCAAUGACUGAAGAUUCGAUGAUUGUCUAAAUAUUAUUGGAAGGUUCUACUUAUGGAAACCGAGAUCUUGAUUGUAUGGGCGAACAGGAUUGAUGGGCUAUCAACACGUUCCUUUAAUAGCUCGAAUGAUCUUCCUAAUUGAUUCCGUCCAACGGGUAGAUUGGAGGAAUUCCUUUGGAAAGUGCCAACGGGUAUGAUGGCAUAAAGGAGUAUAUAAGGAAGACGUUCUUAGUUGUUUAAGAAGUGUGCGCGAUAGAAGAAUUCCAAAGUCUGAAGCUCCUAUUUGUUUAGAUAAAUCUCUUGAGCGAAUACUUGUAUACAAAAGAGAGUAUAUAUUUGUGAGAGACCUUGAGGAGGUGUGAUAGAACAUCUACACUGUGGAAUCAAGGCAAAGUUGUGCUGUAACUUCUCUUUUGAUCAUAGUGAAAUCCAGCCGGUGGGCUGUCAGUGCGGAAGAGUGGACGUAGGCUUGGAAUAAGCCGAACCACUAUAAAUCCUGUGUUUGAUUUUCUCUUCCUUACUCUCUCUACAUCGAUCAUAUUUCAAUCUGUUGCUUCCGUAUUUGAGAAAAAUUGUUUGUGCGCCUAUUCACCCCCCCUCUAGGUGUUUAUACUAGCAAUAUCAAUUGGUAUCAGAGCCUGUGUACUUACUUUAUUUGAAGUGUAUUACUUCAUAGUAAAAGAUCCAUGGCUAGUAUGCUAGCACCAGGGCUGAUGGAAGGGCAAAGCAAUACCAGACCACCUUACUUUGAUGGAAAGGAUUACAACAUCUGGAAGAACAAGAUGAAAGCUUUCCUACGAUCAAAGGAUCCUCUGGAAUGGGACGUUGUAGAAAAAGGAAUUACUCCUACCACUGCAUCAGUCUCUGAAAGAGGAAAAGAAAUUGAAGAAUCCAGCGGAAUGUCUCAGGAAGAAAUAACCAAGAGACAGACACUCGAUGCAAAAGCAAUUUAUUCCUUAUAUUGUGCUUUAUCACCAACUGAAUAUAAUAGAAUAUCUUCUUGUGGUACAGCAAAAGAAGUUUGGGACAGAUUGCAUAUCACCUAUGAAGGAACAGAUCGAGUGAAGGAAACAAGAAUCAACAUUCUUCUCGGUCAAUACGAAGCCUUCAGAAUGAAGCCAGGAGAAUCAAUAUCUGACAUGUUUAGUCGUUUUACAGAUAUUGUAAAUGGUCUUGAAAAUCAAGGUCAACCAACUUCUGAUCCCAUGAAGGUAAACAAGCUACUGCGUGGACUCUCCAAGGAUUGGAAUCACAUAAAGACUUCGAUAAGAGAGACGCAGAGAAUUAUGCCACUAUCUGUCGAUGAGCUGAUUGGAACUCUUCAGUCCUAUGAAGUGGAAAUGAUCAAUGAAGAUGAAGAUCCGAGAGGUAAGAAAUCCAUUGCAUUAAAAUCAAAUGAUGAUUCUGAUGUUACAGAUUCUGAAGAAGAUAUGGACGAUGAGGAGCUUGCUCUCAUGAUAAGAAGAUUCAGAAAACUAAACAGAAAAGGAAGAAGGUUCAACUCAAAGAAACAAGGCUUUCAAAGAUAGCAGACCAAGUCUGUUGAUGAUGAGGAACCAAACAAAGAUGUAGUCUGCUUUGAAUGCAAGAAAAAGGGACACAUCAGACUCAACUGUCCUCUUUUGAAGAAAAAGAAAGGAAAAGCUGAAAAAUUUCGAAAAGCUCUCAAAGCUGAAACCUGGAGUGAUACUGAGUGUGAAGAAAGUGAUAAUGAAUAUGCCAAUCUAUGUCUGAUGGCACAAUCAAACUCAGACUCUGGAUCAGACUCAGGAUCAGACUCAGACAGUGAAUUUGAGGCAAGUAAUUUUAAAAUUCCUGUCAAAGUUUCUAAAUAUAUUGAGGAACUAUGCGUUAGUCUUAAGACUUCUCUCAAAAGUAUUUCCAAACUAAAAAAGGAAAACUUAGCCCUAAAACAAAAGGAAAAUGUUUUAGCAGAAAAAGUUAAAAGUCUAGACUUGUCUGUUUCCAAUCUUAAAGAAAGUGAAGAAAAUCUUUUAAAAGAAAAUGCUUUCUUAAAAACAGACUUAUCUAAUAUAUCAAAGAAAUUUUCUAUGGGAUUUGAAAAACUUGAGAAAAUUCUUUCAGCACAAAGACCUUACUUCAAUAAGUCUGGUCUGGGUAUGACAGAAGAAACAAUUCCCUUGAUUGAUUUUCCUAAAGUAAAAGAAAGAAUUAAGAAAAGGCUUUCGAGUGAGGUUUACAAAAAUCACGUCAAGAAAGUCUUUGUAAAACCUGUAGGUAGAAAUGCUCUCAGAUGUUCUAAGUGCAACAGUCCGGAUCACUUUGAAAAAGAGUGUCCUAUGGUAUGGAAACCUAUUAAGAAAGUAUGGGCUAAAACUGUUUAUCUUACUAACACCAAAGGACCCAAGAAAAUUUGGGUACCAAAGAAAGCUUGAGACUCUUUGUUAAAUGCAGGUCUCCAUCAAGAAACAGGUAAAGUGGUAUCUUGACAGCGGAUGCUCAAGACACAUGACAGGAGACUCAAAUUGUUUUAUAAAGCUUGCUCAAGUAAAUGGUGGAAAAGUUUUAUUUGGAGGAAAUAGCAAAGGAAGUAUUGUGGGAUUUGGAACCGUGAAAAUUGGCACUCUCACAAUAAGUAAUGUCUCCUUAGUGGAAGGACUCAAUUACAAUCUUCUCAGCAUUAGUCAAUUGUGUGAUACUGGUUUCAAGAUCUCCUUUCAAGAAGGAACAUGUUCCGGAAUCAGUAAAGACUCUAACAGAUCUCUUCAAGAAAUGGCUAGAACUCUUUUAAUUGAAAGUAGAAUUUCUUCUCGAUUUUGGGCAGAAGCUGUUUCAACAGCUUGCUAUAUCAUCAAUAGAGUUUUCUUAAGAUUUAUUCUUCAGAAAACCCCUUAUGAGUUAUUCAAAGAAAAGAAGCCUAUUGUUUCAUACUUUCAUGUAUUUGGUUGCAAAUGUUUUAUUUUGAAAAAUGCAAAAGAUCGAGUUGGUAAGUUUGAAGAAAGAUCAGAUGAAGGUAUCUUCCUUGGAUAUUCUAUAUCAAGCAAAGCUUACAGAGUCUAUAACAAGAAGAGCCAGACUGUGGAGGAGUCAAUGAAUGUCAAAUUUCAAGACUCAACGCAAGAUGAAUCAAGUCAGACUCAUCAAGAAGAGUCUGAACCUGCUACAGACCCUCCAAAGUCUACAACCCAAGAAGCAUCUCAGACUCUGGAAAACCAGCUUCAAGAUGUUCGUGAAGAUCUAAACAAAGAAAGAAAUCAUCAACCAGACAAAUCAACGAGUAACUGGAAGCAUAAGUCUAGUCAUCCCAAAGAUCUUAUAAUCGGCGAAAUUAAUGAAGGAAUUCGCACCAGAUCCAAAAGGCGAGAAGAGUCUAGUGCUGUGGCACUCGUUUCUGAAAUUGAACCAAAGAGCAUAGAAGAAGCUUUAUCUGAUGAAAGCUGGAUUGAAGCUAUGCAAGAAGAGCUCAGACAGUUCAGCAUAAAUGAUGUCUGGAAAUUGACAUCCAAACCUAAAGGUAAAACUGUUAUUGGAGCUAAAUGGGUUUUCAGAAACCAGAUGAACGAGAAAGGAAAAGUCGUACGAAAUAAAGCAAGACUCGUGGCCAAGGGAUAUACGCAAGAAGAAGGAAUAGACUAUGAUGAGACUUACGCUCCAGUGGCAAGGUUAGAAGCUAUUCGACUAUUACUUGCGUUUGCCUGCUAUAAGAAUUUCAGGUUAUUCCAAAUGGACGUAAAAAGCGCCUUCCUAAAUGGAUUUAUCCAUGAGGAAGUAUAUGUGGAACAACCACCAGGGUUUGAAGACCCAAAGAAGCCAGACUCAGUCUUCAGACUGAAAAAGGCUUUGUAUGGUUUAAAGCAAGCACCUCGGGCUUGGUACGACAGAUUGAGUAAGUUUUUAAUUCAAAAUGGGUUUUGUCAAAGGUAAAGUAGAUACGACCUUAUUUAUCAAGAAGGAAAACAAAAGUUUCUUACUUGUUCAAAUAUAUGUGGAUGACAUUAUUUUCGGAUCCGCUAAUGAGAAUCUGUGCAGAAAUUUUCUAGUCUAUGCAGAUGAGUUUGAAAUGAGUAUNNNNNNNNNNNNNNNNNNNNNNNNNNNNNNNNNNNNNNNNNNNNNNNNNNNNNNNNNNNNNNNNNNNNNNNNNNNNNNNNNNNNNNNNNNNNNNNNNNNNAAAAUAUGUGAAUGAUCUUGUCAAAAGGUUUGGACUGGAGAAUUGCAAAAAGGUCGACAUUCCAAUGUCAAGUUCUUUAAAGAUAGACAAAGAUGAAGAAGGGAAGAAAGUUGAUCAAAAGCUGUACAGGAGCAUUAUUGGAUCACUUCUUUAUCUUACUGCCUCUAGACCUGAUAUUUUGUUGAGUGUUUGCAUCUGUGCUAGGUUUCAAUCAGAUCCUAGAGAAUCUCAUCUCAGUGCUGCGAAACGCAUCAUUAAAUACGUCGCUUCAUCAUCAAGCAUCGGUCUUUGGUAUCCUAAGAAGGGAGACUUUAAUCUUCUGGGAUAUUCAGACGCAGAUCUGGCCGGUUGCAGAGUUGAUAGAAAGAGCACUUCAGGAACUUGCUAGUUGCUUGGAAGCAGGAUAUUGUCUUGGUUUUCAAGGAAACAAAGUACUGUGUCUCUUUCAACAACAGAAGCAGAGUAUGUAGCUCUUGGAAGCUGCUGUUCACAAAUUCUAUGGAUAAAACAACAGCUAAGAGAUUUUGAAAUCGAAGACUCAUGCACAGAGAUUAAUUGCGACAACACCAGCGCUAUCAACCUCACCAAAAAUCCAAUUCUCCACUCAAGAGCGAAGCAUAUAGAAAUUCGACAUCACUUUAUUAGAGAUCACGUUCAAAAUGGAGAUGUUUCAAUUCAAUUUGUUGACUCAAAGAAUCAGCUGGCUGAUAUACUCACGAAGCCUUUGGAGAAAAAUCAAUUUGAGUCUAUACGGACCAGACUCAAUAUUUUGAGGCAUGAGGAUAUCAAAGUCUAAAGACUUUCAGACUCAGGCUUACAAGACUUUAUCAACAGUCUUGUCUCGACCUUCAGACUGUAAGUCUUUCUCUCUCCAAUCUUAUCUUGAAAAGGUACGAUCAUCAGACUGUGUUUAAAAUUGUUGCUAUAUUUAAUUAACAUAAAUAUUGCAUCGAUUCAUUUUCAAAAGGGAAGUUAUUUUUUGAAAUAACUAUUUUUGCGGAUAAAGACAGUUAUUUUGAAAAGGCAUAUUUUUAUUUCCUUUGUGACGGUUUGUUUACUCUUCUUUUUAACCGAACGAGCACUGUCGAUUUCUCUUCACUUUUCUACUCUCUCUCAAAAACCCUAGAAAGCAUCGAUCCUCCAUUCCCGUUUGUCUUCUUCGCUAAAUCUUCAAAAAGUUGUCAUCUUUUCCGGGAAAGUCAAGCAAGGAAACUUCCAAACACUGUUAAAGAUGUCUUCUUCACGAAAGUCGUCAAGAAUCGCAAGCAGGGGACCACAGAGAAUGAGUGAGGGGCCUACGCACUUCGAUCUUACUGAAGAUGAAGUUUCUCCAGAUCAGCAACCGAGCCCACAACAUUCUCAGCAGCGUCAUUCUCCAUCAUCUAGUCCUCAAGGCGUUGUUCAUCAGGAAGAAAUCAUCGAGGAAGCAGACCCCGUAAGAGUUCAAAAGCCUGCUUUUAUCUACAAGCUAUAUCGUGCUUUAAAAGGAAUUCGUACUCCUUUGAACUAUGUUGAUGAUUUUGUUAAAGAAAAAGGAUAUAGGAACGAAUAUAUCUUUCUGAAAAGAAUGGAAAGUUUGGGAAUCGCUCGUAAAGGGGUGGCUGAGGAAACCCUUGCGAAUAUCCCAAGUGAUCCUCGUGACUGGGGGCCAAAUCCUGUAGAUGGGAAUGAUGAUGACAAUCUGUUCAGUCUAUUUCAACCGAAAAUGGGUAUUGCGGCUGAAAUUCAAGGAAAAAGGGGAGAUUUGUUCAGAUCAAAGGAACAAAAGGAUCUGUACUCGAAAUUGCUGAAGCGUGGGGUAAUAAACCCUAGGAGUGUGGACUUUGAUUUUCUGGAUGCUGUGAAAGUGAACUUGAGGGAAAAGUUCAGUUAUCUUCAACUUGAAAAGUUUUGCUCUGACUCUACUGAGGCUUAUGCAGAAUUGACUGCUUACUUCUAUUCAAAUCUUAGCUUUUUAGAUGCGAAUAGAUUUUCCUUCAGUGUCAAAGAACAAGACUAUGUUGUGGAUAUGGAUAUGCUGGCAGAUGUGUUAGAAGUUGAGAGAGGCAGAUAUCAACCGAUUAAAGUUUCCAUUGCUGGGGCUACACUUGAACUGGUGAAGGACAGGAGAACAGAUGAGAAGAUCACUUACUCACGGAUGAAUGCAUUCAACAUCUUGCUUCACAAAAUUGUGAUCAAUUGCCUUCGGCCGAAAUCAACUUCCAAAACUGAUGUGUCAAGUUCUGAGGCAAAGUUGAUGUAUGCCAUCCUCUGUGGUAAGAAGUUUUCUCUCCCUCAUACUGUUAUGUUUCAUAUGUAUAGAGUAGUGAUGAAGGACAGAGGUCAACUCCCUUACCCAAGCCUUGUUACGAAGUUAUUUAGACAUCUGAAUAUUCAGCCUCCGCAAAUCUUUUGUGUUCGAUCAUGCGAUCAUAUGGNNNNNNNNNNNNNNNNNNNNNNNNNNNNNNNNNNNNNNNNNNNNNNNNNNNNNNNNNNNNNNNNNNNNNNNNNNNNNNNNNNNNNNNNNNNNNNNNNNNNNNNNNNNNNNNNNNNNNNNNNNNNNNNNNNNNNNNNNNNNNCAUCAAAGACUCGUUGAGGAUGAAGAUGAUGACGAUGACAUCACCAUCUCCGCAAUGGCUUUGAAGAACUUAAGUCGUCCUGUUCCACAGAAAGAAUCGGAACAAAGGACGAAAGAAGCAGAGGAGAAGGAAGAAGAAGAAAGAGAAGCAAAGGAGAAGGAAGAAGAAGAAAGGGAAACAGAGCAAGAAGCAGAGCAAGAAAGACCUGAAGAAGAAAGAAGAGAAGGAGAACCUGAGGAAAUCUCUUCUCCACCUGUAGGCAUGAAAACAGGGGGAGUUCAGGAGAAAGGAGUGACAUCUUCAUUUCCAGAUGAAAGUGAAGGAGUUAGUCACUCGCCUGCAGACCCAGAAGAUGUUUAUGCCUCUCAAUUUCCAGAGGAAGGUCAUGAAGCUUCAUCGCCCAACCUGCGAGAUUAUGCUGAUCCACCAUCGUCUGCUUUUACUCCAUCAGAACGAGCAGAAGCAAGUACUCAGACUGAUAAUGGAGCAGAUUUUCGCAGAAUCAUGGAUAUUCUCUUGGAGAUGAAAGGUCAGAUUUAUGCCUUGGGAUGCGAAGUUCAAAGCUUGAAGAAUGAAGGUCAAGCUUCUUCCUGUUCAUUAAAUGAAAAGAUGCAAGCCCUCUCUAUUCAGAAUCAGGCCAAUGCCAAGAGUGAGGAGGUUGUACAGCUAAAGGAAGACUUUAAGAGGCUGGAAGGCAUUGUUCAGUCUAUGGAAGAUUUCUAGCUUGUCCGCGUUCCCAAGCAAUCUUAAUUUCAUCUCAUCCUUUUUAAAUGAUGACAAAAAGGGGGAGAGAUGCAUGAUUUGAAAACUUUCAAUCUUUUUUAACUGUUUGUUGGAUUGUGUUUAACUGUCUGUUUGUUUUUGACAGACUUUGACUUUGUUUUGUGUCUGGAUAAGAACUGCCUAGACUUGGACUUGACUUUACUGCUUUUAUUAAUCAAUAUUGAUAUCUUAUGAAUGGCUUAAUCAUAUACUGGACUAACCUAUUUUCUGUGGUUGCAGAUUCUAGUGUUAUUCUAUUAGCCAUUUAUUUCUAUAAGAUAUGCAUAUGUGGUUGAGAAAUGUUUUGCAGGUCAAAGUUAUCCAAAUCUGCAGGAAGGUUUUGUCACCAUCAAAAAGGGGGAGAUUGUUGGAGAAAUCCUCGUGAAGAGUUUUGAAGUUGACAAAACGUUUCCAUCAGUCUAGUCUGAAGGUCAGCAAACUCUGUUGGUUAAAGUCUGAAGACUUCCGGACAGCCAGACUCAAGACUCAAAGUCUAUCCUCAUUGACAGUCACUGAUCCGUUGAAGAAAGGUUAUCCCGAACUGAAUGUUUUGUUCAUGAUUUAACCUUAUCAUCUAGAGAAGAUCUCGUGGUUGGAGAAGACGUAUCAGAAUCCUUUGAUUGAUCAAAUUUGAUUCAAUGACUGAAGAUUCGAUGAUUGUCUAAAUAUUAUUGGAAGGUUCUACUUAUGGAAACCGAGAUCCUGAUUGUAUGGGCGAACAGGAUUGAUGGGCUAUCAACACGUUCCUUUAAUAGCUCGAAUGAUCUUCCUAAUUGAUUCCGUCCAACGGGUAGAUUGGAGGAAUUCCUUUGGAAAGUGUCAACGGGUAUGAUGGCAUAAAGGAGUAUAUAAGGAAGACGUUCUUAGUUGUUUAAGAAGUGUGCGCGAUAGAAGAAUUCCAAAGUCUGAAGCUCCUAUUUGUUUAGAUAAAUCUCUUAAGCGAAUACUUGUAUACAAAAGAGAGUAUAUAUUUGUGAGAGACCUUGAGGAGGUGUGAUAGAACAUCUACACUGUGGAAUCAAGGCAAAGCUGUGCUGUAACUUCUCUUUUGAUCAUAGUGAAAUCCAGCCGGUGGGCUGUCAGUGCGGAAGAGUGGACGUAGGCUUGGAAUAAGCCGAACCACUAUAAAUCCUGUGUUUGAUUUUCUCUUCCUUACUCUCUCUACAUCGAUCGUAUUUCAAUCUGUUGCUUCCGUAUUUGAGAAAAAUUGUUUGUGCGCCUAUUCACCCCCCCUCUAGGUGUUUAUACUAGCAAUAUCAACGCCAAGUAAUCAGAUGGAGAUGGGGAUGGCGAUGACGAACGUGCUGAUGGUGGUGUCGAUCUGGAGCAGCGGCUGUGGCUUUGUGGGGGCGACAUAGAGGCGGUGGCAGGGUGAUGAUGGUACUGAAAUUAGGGUCAGAUUAGGAUUAAGUCGAGACUUUUCAUUAUCUUUAUUUUUAUUUUUUUGUCGAAAGAAACCUUGGUAUUAUUUAAACUCGAGUUCUUAAACGAGAGUUCUUUUUCUUUGUAUUGGUGUUUGUGACCAGUGGUAUCAUGAAGACUAUUUCCAACGACUGAGGUGUUCAGGCAGCCGGCUGUGGCGAAACCUCUCCUAUAUGUCGAAUUUGCUCCUGCAUCACCGAACUUGAUUGUUGUCGGUAAAAUAUUUUCAUCAUACAAUACAAGCGCUCAUCAACAUGUCAUUAAUAAAAGCACUUGGAUUUACCAAACUUGGUCCCAUAAUAAACAAACAAUAACAAAGCAAAAUGCACAUUCCGUGGCGAGCCUUUUGAGUGCAUCCAAUCUUAAUUGAUUGCAAAUCGUGUAGAAGUCCUAUGCACCUAUCUACACUUCAUAAAAGCAGAAACUUGUCAUUGGAGAUGCCGUGUCAUCGUCAACAUCUUUGUUUCCUACCUUUCUUUCGAACGGGAAAUAUACAACAUGACAUGAUAUUUACAAUUCCCGGAUAAACAAGAAGGGGUUAACGCAAGCAGAAUAAAGACGCCAUAAAAUCAGUUGCAGCCCAAGACCACUCGCGAGGACAGUCAAUCUUCUCCAAUUUACUAGAUGGCCUUCACUGCCAAAGGCAUGCUCAUCUGGCAGGAAAAAAACAUCACACCGUAAGCCUGGCGCCGCCACGAGAGUGUUUGCUGGUCAUCAAUAUGCCGCUGACCACUGAGCGGUUCAAAGAGUUGCAGCAGCAUUGCGAGUGCACUAACAACAAUAUAAGUAGAGGAAAACCUAUGAUGACAUCAACACCAGAGAAACCUGAAUAUUGCUCCAUUCUGUCUCUCCUAUCUGAAUUUCUAGCAUAAUGACUAAACAGCGCGUUGUUUAAUGUUCAAGAGCAUUCUCAAGGACCGUCAAUUUUCCUAAGUUCUAAUAUAUGCUAAGGGAAACUGCAAUUACGGUUGUUUUCAUGGCAUGAUGAUCAAUUGCACCUACUUCUUCCCUAGGGAAAGACAAAUUAAACCAUGGCGUACCAAUUAAUCACUAUGGGUAACUCAUUCAAAAACUUUCAGGACGAUCAGGUGGAAAUAUUGAAGCUUAUGUAGAAAACUGUAAAAUGUGAAGAGUUUGUAGGUGAAUUGGGAAACUGACUGUAGACCCUAUAAACACGUGGACUAUCUACUCCAAUUUAAAAGUUUAGUGCAGACUGUUAGAAGUUAUAAAUUUAGUGAGUAAACAGUAGAAAGGUGGUAAGUUAAUGAAGUUAUUUUGCCAUUAGGCCAAAAGAUGAAUACUCCCACUAGCAAUGCAACAGCAAAAUAACAAAGUGUAAAAUUACCUUCAGCAGUGGACCAAAGGCGAUGGCCUAGCAAAACCUUAUGAUGAUAUGUUGUCGUCAUGAGGCGAUGCAAGACCAGAAGAUGUGGGUGGCUUCCUCACAAAGGGAUGGUCUAGCAACUGUGCUGCAGAAGGCCGAUUAUUUGGGUUCACUCGCAAGCAACUGAGGAUGAAGUCUCGAGCAUCUCUCGAUAAAGAAUCAGGAAUUGGAGGAAGUUCACCCUUGCCAAUUCUGAACAAUGCUUGCAUCUGCCACAACAAGAAAGAAAAUGUAGCAGAGGCUAGUGUUAAUCAUAAAUCCAGGGGGAACUAACAUGUGAUAGCUGCAUUAAUCAAUAAGAUCUGUAGACAAAUCUAAGUGUGCUUCAGGCAAUCAUCUGUCACAGUUAUUGCUGAAGUAGGAGACCGCGGAUGACAUAUAACAGUUCACAGGGACCAACUACUGCCAAUAAAGCGUAAGUAUCUACUGCUUUUUGCUCAAAUUUUUAAGUGUCCUAAAUUAACAAAAAAGUAAAAAAGAAAAGGGCGUUAGUUGCAUGUUUUACAAUGGCUUUGAGUAGGAUGGUAUUAUUUUUUUCUCAUUAUAAUAAAUAAACCCAAGAUGCGCACGAAAGCAGUGCAACCUUCACAACUCACUCAGCAGAUAAGAGCACUCCUAAUUUCAGCAGCAGCCAUUCUAUCAACAAAAGAGCAUUUCCACACUGUGAUGCCUAGAAAGGAUAGCAUCAUAAGGUGAUUUACUGGCUACAGUCAGCAAUUACCAUCCCAAAUGGAAAACUGACUACUCAUAUGGGGAGGUAAUCAUUAGUAUCGAAAGUAACUAAAUCUAGCAUAGGAGACAACCAUUUAGGCCAAUGAUCACUAUAGAGGAGAUCAACAAUCGAGGGCAGUGAGGGAAACGCCAAGGUUGACAAUGCAGAGACUUGGGAAUCACUCAAGUCAUAUUUGCCAUAAAGCAUUGCAAGUGAACCUUUGGUCAUGAGCUCAAGGAAUAGGUAAAUCUUCUCAUCAUCCUGGAAGAGAGUAAAGAAAAUUAUAUUUAACACAUAUCCAACCCAAAAUUUAAGUUAUUAAGUGGUGGAUGAUGGAAAUGUAUAUAAGGCACAUUGAAAACACAUAAAUAAGCUCUGUUGAAUAUUUUAAGACCUAAUCUAAAGUGAAAACUGGUCUGAGAAGUGCACACGGAAUUGAUGAAAAAGAGCCAUGCACGGAAAUAAAUUAAGGCAGAACAUAGCUCCGAAACCAUGUCCGAAUGCAAAGGUUAAGCUGCUAGUUGGAAGGAGUCUACAUAAAUAUAAGACCAAUCAAAACCCCAUAAGUUAACAAUAUGGAGUAUUUUAACAAGAUUCAUUAAGAACAGCCAUACCAAAGAGCAAAUAAAAAGAAACAAACUACAUUGGUGAUGUUAACGUUUUAUUCAUCCUAAUGAAGCUAGAUGUCUAGGCCUCUUAUAACAUCUAACUACUCAUUGGAUCAUGACAACACCCUUCCCAUAAUGUACCAAGGCAAGGAUCCCCUAGACAAGGCCCUGAGGUUAGUUAUGCUUCCUGAAGGCAUUAAGUACCUUUUCAAUAACUGAUCAGUGCUUCGUAAGAAUCUGUUUGAUUGGUGUUAAUUUAGUAAAUGUUUACAUCAGAUCACAAAUUAAAAGCAAUACUGUGAACUUAAAAGGAAAAAUAAGGCAAGAACGCAUGGUACCGAGCUCUUCUUUUUGUUGGUUUCCGCAUACAACACAAAUAUCCAAGUUAUAAGUGUUCACCACGAUUUUAAAUUGCAGCAGUCCCUAAAAAAAAAAAACAGUUGCAUGCACCCGGUGGAAGAAGUCGUAUUGCAUUAAUCCCUCAUCCCCACAAAACAAAGUGGUGGAUUGUAGGUGUAGCAAACCAAAUUUUGUUUGCCAGCAACAAUCUUUUGCAUGUUUCAUCUCCAACAAAAGGCUACGUCAUGGCACAUUCUUAGAAUUUGAUGCUUCUUGCGAAGCUAUGUUUAGAAAAAAAAAAUAACCAGAAGGUACUUCAACAUUAAAGCCACUAAGCUAGGAUAUACUUCCCUUACUUGAACAAUGAUCAUUUCCAUUUUCAGUUUUCUCUAAUUGUAGAGGUAAAGAACUAUACGAUGCUGCAUAAAAAUGAGUGUAACUAAAUGACGCUGGACUAGAAUCGAUGGAAAAAUUGAGCUUGCAGAGGAACUCCAUUGUUGUUGCUACAGCCACGACCAGUUAUAGAAGAGGGAGGAAAGGCAGGUGCUUUAGUCAUGUGGACCAUCAGAUGGUCAAUUAAAGGAUAUCUAAUGAACUAAAUGACUUCACUUGCUUAUCCUUUUUCGCCCUUAUGUCUUAUUAGUCGGGGCUGCCGUUUCUCAAAGCCUCAGAUUCCUGUUUAUUAUUCCUGAGAGUUUGACCUGAAUCUUCAGUUUGCAAGAUGAAUAAUUCGUAAAACAUCUACCACUAUAAAAACAAAGAUUUGAUUACAUGACAGGCUCACUUUAAAUGGGAAAUUUUUUUUUGCUUUCAUAUAUAUAUAUAUAGAGAGAGAGAGAGAGAGACCAUAAACUGACGUCUACUCUGCAUAUAUUCUUUACUCAUAUAAUUACUAUCUCAGGUAACAGUCAAUUCAUCACGAACUUUUUAUGUGGUGGGAGAGGGACCUAAAAUGUCUUCGUCUGCCAUGAAAGGCUGUUACUGCUAAAAAGCCGCAAAUGCUGUGAUCUUAGACAUGCAGCGAUGAUGACGCUACAGCUAUCUUGUGGCUGCAACCACAGCCAUGCUCACCUAAACAUUUUGCUCAGUUCCGGUGAUAUCAUAAUCGAUGCCAAAGUGAAAGAUGCAGAAAGAAACUUAGAAAGAAGGAGUGCACACCUUCUCAGUGCCGUAAUAUCGAACUAUGUUGUCAUGUCGAAGCUGACUUAAAAGAGAAAUUUCCUGAAAAGAAAGCAGAGUAUCACUAAAAAAAAAAAGGAGUCAAAAUAAGAUCAACUGAACUCAGACCAGAUUUAUGGUUGGAUACAAUGGCAGUCUUAUAAAUAAUUUUGCUAUAUAAAUCAGCUUGGCAGUUAUAAGAAAGUGAUUAAUCAAGUAGUCAUGCCUAGGGACCAGUUGACAAGAUACAGAAAGACAAGCUAUUACCUGCUCAAGAUACAAUAAGCUUUGGCAUCCUUGAUCUAACAAAUAAACCUCCUUUACAGCGAAAAAGGUUCCAUCACUGUGGAAACAGAAAAGCAUGAGAGAAUAAAUGCCAAUUCUUUCGUGAAUGAUGCCAUGACCAGACAUAGUCAAGAUAAUAUUGCAAUCCAGAUGAUAUAAAGAAAGAAAAGGAGUUGCUCUCUUCAAUAUAAGUAAAAUAGUUCCCUAGCUUUCAGCAUUUGAAUUUACAAUCAAAUAACAGUUUCCAAAGCAUGUUUUCCGUAUGCGCUUAUUUAUCACACUAUCCAUUCUUCAAAAAAAGAAAAAAAAAUUACUCACUAUUCAAGCUAGUAAUGUUACAGAAAAACAAUGAACAACUAAAUUUACAUGAUUUUUGAUAUACCAGAUCUAUACUUCAUCAAUCUGAUCAAUGAUCAAGAAUGGUCUUCAAUAAAUACAAUGCCAAUCAUGUUAGAACUCCUAUUCCAAAUAUGACGAUCAAGCACUUUAAGCAAUUGGAUAACCAUUUGUCUUGUCUGUUUAAAGGCCCCUUAUGUUGACGAAAUGAUAACGUAUUCUACUGUAUAUAGAUGCCAUCCCAAUCCCAACCAAAGAAUGCAACACUCAGAAGUGCAAUGAAACUUUAAGCGAACAUCAUAAUGGGAGAAUGCGGAUUAUACUUCGCCCCAUAAAAUGCUUAUAGCAAGAAUAACUUACUGAUUAUCAGAGAGAAGCUAAGGAAUCUUACUCGGUUAAGAUUUCAUAGACACGUCCAUAUGACCCAUUUCCCAGCAGCUUACCCUUUUGCCAUGAGGUGAUCCUUCGUCCGACACUCCCAUUGUCUACCCCAGAGGUCUGAGCCUCUUCCCAACUUACCAAUUUGCCAUCCAGAGGUCUUUCGUUUCCUCUCGGCUUAUGCAGAACCACUUUCAAAGCGAGCUCAAUGGCUUCGCUGUUUCUGCCACAAACCAACCACUUUUAGUAAAAGAAAACAAAUAACAAUCUCACUACUACUUCCUAGCAGAUAGCAUUUGACUUGGAUCACUAUUCCAAGUCCCAGGCAAAUUUUAUAAAGCUGAAAGGAUUUUAGUUUAAUAAACUCCGCAGGAUAUGAUUGGCGCUAUGCAGAUAAACCUACAAUUUCCCCCUAUUACUGAGAAAAAAAGAUGUUUAUUUGCCGUCCAAAUUACAGACAUCAUUCUAGAAUAAGAUCAAAUUCACUCAUAUAACUAUCUCUAGCCAAAAUGGCCCUGCUUAUGUAUGAGAAUAGGUGAAUGUCUCUGUUUUAUUUUUGUUUCAUCAUCAUCAUCAUCAUCAUCAUCAUUUCUUGGUGAGAAAUGAAAUUUACUGCUCAGAUAUCAAAAACUGGUUUGCAUAUGAUGCAUCGACCAAUAUAUUUCCUGUUGAAUUUUUGAACCACUUCAGCUAGUUUUCACAGCCAUUUACAAGAAUUUUAAGAGAAUAGCAUUUCGACUACGCUUGAGAAAAGGUCCAUUAAUAAGCAUUUACUUACGGUUGGAUAUUCCAUUCCUUGAUCUCAGCCACUUCUCGCAGACGAUCCUUCCAACUUUUGAUAUCGGCAUUGAGCCUCCGCUUGUGCUCCAAGAAGGCCUCCUUCAGCAGUCCCCUUCCGAGCUUGACGUCAAAGUUGGUGGGUAAAAUCGCUGGUUUCCCAGUCGAUGCAUUGAGCUCCAUCACUUGAGCGAGCUCAGAGGCACCAAGCGCUCGACACGUAGCCCCAGGAGAGGACCGGUAUGCAGAUCUUGGAUUUGCUGACCGCUCUCAAGAGAUUGCUGAUCCGAUCACUGGCGUGAAAGUCUUCGCUGUCUCUGUAGGCGACAAUCCCAUGGCCAACCAGGGUUCGGUAGAGGUAGUCGGUGAAGGUGUAGCAAGGGUCGGGUCUCUGAAGCUCAGGAACACAUCCUCAGUGUUGUUAACUUAAAGCACAAGAAAAAGAAAAAGUUCUUGGAGGAGCGUGGGCAUCCUGUGGUCAAAAGAAAAAGGGUUAUUAUCCUAAAAAAUGCUAAACUAAUGCACUAAUGCCAAAUUUACUCAAAAUUAAUUUUUUAAUCACGAAAAGCCCCAACCGGUACAUCUAUAAGAAAUCUACUUCAAAUGAGCACGAAAAACUUCAAAUUAAUACGCUUGUUACAAAUCUUUCUUGAUCACCAAAAAUUCUAAAUUAGUACAUUUGUGAUAAAUAUACCCUCCAUUAAAAUGGAUUAAUACAAUGGAAAAUCACAAAAAUAGUACAACACAAAUAAAAAGUAAAAUCUUAAACUGAUAUACUAGUCAACUGUCGCAUGCCAUCCAAUUCAGCAAUUUGACAAUAAUAUUUAAUAGAAUUAGCAGAGGAUAAAUUUGUCACAAGUAUAUUAGUUAUAAGUAAAUUUAUUAAAUGUAAACUAGUUUGGGGUUUUUGAUGGUUAAAAAAUUAGUUUGGAGUUUUUUAUAGUAAAAUAAUUAGUUUAGGGUAAAUCUAUCAUAGGUACACCAGUUUGGAGUUUUUCACUCUAUUAACUCAAAGAAAAAAGAAAGCAUGUGUCGGACAAAAGAAAGCAAAGGGCAAAGUCAAUAUUUGUUCAACUACAAAUCGGGAAUUCUAGUUGGAACAUGGAGACAUGGUUAUAUAUAAGAGUAUGCGCAAAAGAACCGGGAGCUGCCCGAACCACUCAGAAUUAGCGGUUUCCAAGGGAGCCGGUUUAGUUCUUGGUUCCAAUUUAUUGGAACCAGUGGGUACCAGUCUAGUUCUUGAAUCUAAGUGUGGAAUUGCCCACCCACCCAUCCAGACCAAAGUAGUAAUAUAUAAAUAUAUAUUUAAUUUUAAGAAAAGUUUCUGACCAAAAAAUAAUUUAAGAAAAAUGAAAACACUAAAACACUUAAUUUGGAGCUCAACACCCAUUAAUUGAGUGCUCAUCUCGUCUCACUAUUACCUUGCUUAAGUUAUCCCACUAUCAUUCACUCAUAGCCUUGACUCCCAAUCUCAAUAGUCAUUUGACUCACGGCCUCAACUUUCAACUUAAAAUAUGAGUUCAAUCUUUUUAUUGAUAUUGCAACUAAUAAUAUAGAAGUUCUUUGUUUCUUGCUUUACUUUAGCUUGCUGGAAAAUGUCACACUAAGUGUGUGGAGUUUGGUGAGAUCGGCUCUAUGGACCCGUUCAAGAAUUGGACCGAGCCGGCGGUUUGGUUAUUGAGUGGAUUCAUGGAGCCAAUUGGCAAUUCCCAAUUUCAUUUUUUCGGAACCGGUCCUUAGUAAGUGAUUCUCGGUUCUAGGAUGGGAAUUGCUAGGACUGAUUUGUUUCUGGUCUAAUUCAAAGGUGGAACCAAGAAUCAGACUGGGAGGACCGGGUCCUAGAUUCUGGGAUCGAGAAUCGGACUGACCAAUCCCAGAGUAGGAACUAGACCAACCAAUCGGUCUGGUCUAGUCAGAUGGAACUAGUAAGUUUGUUGUUUCAAGCUAAAAAUAAAUUGAAAAACUUUGUUGCCAAUUCGAGUUUGAGACAACGAGGACCGACUCCCUGGUUGAACUUUAGAGUGGGUUCGUCGAAUUUGCCAUCCCCCCACACCACACCUCCCUUGGGCCCCUCACUAAUAUUUCGAGGACUCCUGCUAGCAAAAAGAGAUUAGUUCUAAUUUUUUAUGGUUGGUAGUUGGGAGGGAAUCCUUGUCGAUGAAGUAACAAUGCCCCUCCCAUGAAUUUACUUAACGCUCUGAACUUCAGAGCGUCUUUGUUGUCGUUGAGGCGACAUAUCUUGUCGAGUGAGAGACGUGAGUGAGAGUGAGUAGAGGCUCAACGAAAAAUGAGGAAAAUUGAGAGGAAUUAGGGUUUGUUUAUUAAGAAAUUUAAAAACAUUACAUAUUUAUAUAAUCAAAUAGUUUGAUUUGAUCGAGCUAAAUGGCCAUUGGUUCCAAAAAUGAGUUGGGAAUCAGACUGCCCUCUGUAGGAACUGUCUAGAAUUGCCAAUUUGGUCCAUUCUAGGUAGUUCCUGGUUUGGCCGAUUCUCAUUGUACACCCUUAAGAACCACCCAUCCGAUCCAUGCUCAUUUUUAAUUAUAUAUUGUCAAUUAUUAUGAUUGAGGAGAAGACUUUGACACCACCAGCACACGAAUAAUAAAGAACUCUAUGUCUCCCCCACACUUUCUCUCCCGAUCUUCACUCUAUCGAUCAAAAGGGAUGUGCUUUAGCAUGUCAAUUUUGCCGACCGACUAUCGGUCAGUUUCUAACCAUUUGCCAGUCUCCUCUCUUAAGACCAUCCACGUAACUUGAACCCCCCUCUCCAUCUCCAAUGCCAUGUCGGUGGUGGCUUGCCAAACCGACCACCAAAGCACCACAUGCUAGGCCAUUUCCAUUUAACACUCCAAAUCAAUGUUGAGUUGCAUGAUGUGUAGACUUUGUUCAUUUGGGUUGAUGCUUUGUUUUGAUGUCUAUUAGGCCUUGAAGGGUAAAAUAUGAGCUUUGAAAAGUAAAAAGGGCAAAAAGGGAGGGGGUUUGAAAAGUCGACAAAAGAAGCAAAGAGAGAAUAGUGGAACCUUCGGCUCUUUUAAGAAGAGAGAGGGAGGACGGAAAGCUUAGUUGAGGGAAAAGAAAGAAAAAGAGAGAAGAGAGAAAAGAAGGGAAAAAGAAAAAAGGGUGGCGAAAAGAGGAGAGAGUGUCUUACGUUCUUCCCAUGGACGCCUUGCCAAGCUGACUCAAUGUCGUUUUGCAAUGCCGAUAAGUGUUCGCCCCCUUCUAUUAUGCCUCCAACACGUCACAGCUAAUCUAAAACUACUAGCACUAUUAUCUUUUUAUUUCGCUUUUUCUAAAGCAUGCAAAAGCAUAAGAGACCAAAGUAAUCUUGGAGUACACAUGGACUUCUAUAAAUGGGCAACUUCAUUUCUUAUUUAUUUAUAUAUACGUUAAACAAUGAGUUUGGUAUAUUGGGAAAUUCAAAAGGAUCAGUACUACUGAUUACACUGGUUGUCAAUUGAUCAUCCAGUCCCAACCUAGCUAUACACAUGGUCGUCUAACCCCGUUCCUAGCUUUGUAAACAAUCUUCCAAGCUCCAAAAAUCCAGCUGCCCUCCUACCUCCCUUCUAUGUGGCGGGAUUGCCUCAAUCUCCUAGCCCGUCGGUAAAGAGUGAGAGGGGACCCACCAUGUGCCCAUUAAUGUUGACGUAUAUCCUGACAAACCCAAAAGUGACAUGCCUUAUCGGAGGCCCUAUAUCAACAACCAUACGAGACUUGAUCUGGAUAAAAACCAUAUCCGGGAAAUCAAAGUCUAUGAUUGUUUUCUUGCCAUGCGAAGUCAUCAACUGGUACUCUAUAAUGGACCAUAGGAAAGGCAGGUGGGAUUGACAUUUUACUAAUUUGAAAAGAUAAAGUCAACAAUCAGUGAGUCUAAAUCCAGCAAGUAGAAGGUCCAUUGAUCUAUACUACGGAAAUCGAUCACCAUACUAACAAGAAAAGCCUCAAUAUAAGUUUUAGUAAAUCGCUUUCAUAUCAUUUUACUUGAAAACCUUUUCAUAAUAGAUGACAGAUCAAUAAAUGUAACAACUUUUCCCAACCGAUAACCAAUAACUCAAUUUAGAAGUGCUAAAUUUAUAUUCAAUAUAAAUUCAUGUUGCGAUCAUUAUCCGGGGAACCCUGUUAUCUCUCAGGUAUCUCGCACCCAUUCGGUAUCACGAGGACAUUUGAGGGACCCGCAUUACACCCCCAAGCAUAUGGAGGAACCCAGUUAUCCCUUUAGGCCUCCUUACUACAACUCAGUGUGUUGUCAUCCCAAGGAUUGAUGGCAUUCUUAGUCAAACAUUCGCAUCAUGAUGUAGCAAUUCCAUAAUUCAAUUUAAAAACACGUUGACGUUACUACUAUCUAGGGACUCAAGUGUGAAUCUAAUGAAUCCUCAGUCAUUUUUAUUCUUAGAUGAAUAUAAACUCAUCCAUGCAAAUAUUGGGUGAACUAGAGGAAGAAUCCCAUAUCCUAGACCCUAAAUUAGCCUUGUAGGGCAUGCAACUAGUGCACUUGACUAAAUACAAAGGGCUUUUCUCGCUUGUUUAGUAAAGUCAAGUUUUUGGCCUUAUCUUGGAGGUGACGACGACUACAACAUCCGUUGGACAUAACAUUAGGAAGCAGACAAUCAUACUUGCUUAAGUUAAGAGUUCUAGCUUCACUAGGGGAAAGAAAGUGAGUGAUCCUACCCCAUCCUUGGCUAAGCUAAGGCUACCAUCAUUAGGGAAUAUACCUUGGAGAACAACUACCCUAUAAAGGACUUUUCUGGCAUUGACUUCCUUUUGAAACUUCUGCCUAAAAAGAUGGCUUCAGAAUUGGCUGGAACUUCUAAUACAGGUUCUCAAAUCUUCUUUCCCAUACAAGACUAUCCUACUACUUGAACUAUACUACAUUGUCCGUCAUUCUAGUCUCACUCUUGGGUGCAGGGUUUUUCGUUACUAUGGCACUUGAGCAUGCUUUCAUCCUUUGUUGGGUGCUUAGCUAUUAGAAAAGUAUAAGAAGCGGCUCCUUCGGGCAAACCAAGCCCUUGGGUAUGUCUGAAAUGGUAGAUUGGUUUACGGCUCCUUGUGAGAGAAAGAGGUCAUAAGAUCCCAAGUUGUAUAGAUUGAGCAUCUCUUGAUGGAAUACAUAUUGCUAGCGCUAGCCUCUUUCCUAUGCUAUCAAGUAAGGAACCCUUCGAUAUGAUGAUUAGCUUCUACCCCACCCUAGAUCUGACUUAGAAUUCGCGUUUCCAAUCUUCGAGCAAGAGUCCUUAAAUCUUGCUUAGGAAGUUCAACAACUAAAUCAAAAACAGAAUCGGCAAAAAAUCAAACUUCAAUUUUUCCAAGUUGGUAUCUUUAUAAUAAAAGAGGAAACUAACAAGAUAUGGAAAACAACACCCCAUCCAAUUCGCUCUAACAGACAGGCAUGGUUCUGUAGUUAAAGCAACUUUGUCACUUUCGUGUACACAUCGGAUGGCAGCCUUUUGUGAAAGCUACAUUUGAUUUGGAAUCGAGAAAAGGCUAAAGCCCUAAUUUCACUAUAUCAAGAAUCAAAUUGAAAAGAUUUGAAACCCUAACUCCAAAGUCUUCAUAAACAAGCUUAUCCUCGCCCCAACUGGUAGCUGUUGGCUAUCCCCAUCUCUCUUAAACUUCCCUCGGUCUUCGGACUGAGCUAUAUGAUGCAUAAACUUGUCUCAUGUACAGUUCGAAGGUCGAGCUCCACCCCAGCAGUAAUGGUGCAACUUAGGUCAACCAACAUGAAAAUGAUAAGAGUUCACUCAAUGAUUGCCUUUGAGUUUUGAACUUUGUAAAAUAAAAUAAUUGAAAAAUUGAAAAAUGAUAUUAUUUAGGAAUACACAUUGAAUGCUAAGAUUACGCAUUGAAUUUCUAGUAGUAGAUUCACCCGAAUUGUCUUGAUUUCCAAUUGAUGAACAAGAAGGAAAAUAGAACUCUUGGAUUUUUUUUACUCACCCCCAGCUAGUUCACCCACCACAUAUGGAAGCAAGCUAGUUCCCUAUGUUGGUUGCCCCUUGAUGUGGGUUUAUAAGGUGAAGAUAGGCCAAGAUGGUUCGAUCGAAAAGGAUAAGGCUCGCCUAGUGGCAUGAGGGUUCUCACAACAAUACAGUCUGAACUAUGAUAAAAUUUUCAAUCUACGUGAAAGACCUAAAGGAGAGGAAUCAAUGAAGGAAAGAAGAGUUGUAUCGAAGAUACAUUGCAAUCUUCACUGCUUCUACUAGUUCUUCUAUAUUGAGCACGCCCUUCCUUCUUGCUAUGCUAUGAAGAAUCCCUUGCAAGAUUUGCUGAUGUUCUUUCCCCUAGUAUUAGACUUUAUGGAAGAGUAUCUUUAGUUCAAGGGGAAGCCUAAAAGACCUUUUCAAAAACUUUCGUUAGUUCUCAUCUCUUUGUUGAUAUACGACAUAGAUCUAGAUGAUUAAUGGAAGAAACAUCAAACAUAUCCCAAACUUCUCACUCCCACCAACCGGCCGAUGGAAAUAGACUGACUACUGAGAACCUUUUUCGAUCUCAGCAUCUAGAUGUGAAAGCAGAACUAGCGCUUAAAGUGCGCAACACUCAUUAAUUCCUCAAAAUGAAUUGAAUCAUCAACAGCUCAUAGUUUAGCUAAGUUGGCUUUAAAUGUGGAUAAUGAAUUGGUGUUGGUCGAAGAGUGUUCGUCAUGGUUGGAGCCUGCGGUUCUUAACGAUGUACUCUUGUCUCAUAUUGAUUAAUUAUAUAUGCUAUCGUUUCUGUAUUCCCAGUUCGUUUUCUCUAUUAACAAGAGGGUUCCUUGGUUGUUGAACAAUAAGAAAUUCCCCUUUUCCACUCAAUAAAUGAGAGGAGAAUACAAAUUAUGCUACAAGGAAUGAAGCAUGCUUUCUUUCUUAGGGCAUGAACUCCUUCAUUCCUUUCCUUAAGGAGAUAUGGGCAAGUCUUUUAGUCCUUUGAGACCUUCAUUUGGGAAUCGUACUUAAUAGGAGGGAAUAUUUCAAGGGAAUGAUGGCAUCAUGGCGUUGUUUUGAUCAAAGACCACAGGUGCAAACCACCAAACGGAUGUGACAGUCUCAUUUCCCACAGACCUCAUCCUUGAGGAGGUAAAUAAGACUUAGAGAGAUUUUUUUUGUGAAGAACUCAAAGUCCGAUUUAGCUCAUACAGUUCUAAAUAAUUUUUGUAAAUAGGGCCAAAAACAAUAAAUUUUUCCAGAACGUAAUAUAGCAAAAAAUCAUGGAAAUUUAGGGCAUGAAUGAUAACCAUUUUUGCUAGAAAUUGAUUUUUGGAAGAGAAAUAGAUUUUUUUUUAUUUCUAUUUCUAGAUGAAUUUCUAAGCAAAAAUACAAGUUUGAUAACAAUACAAAAUUUUUAUUCUAAAAAUAGAAAGUCGUUUGAUAACAACACAAAAUUUCUCCCUUUCGAACAGUGGUGAUCAGCGAACAAUGGCGACCGACGGUGGGUGACCGGCGGCGGCAAUUGGUGGGUGGCGGCUGACAAUCGGCGACGGCGGCGGCCUACAAUUGGUGGCGGAUGAUGGUCAGCGGUGACGGAUGGACGAUCAAUUUGUAGUAAGAAUGAACGAUGAGAAUAAUUUUUAUUUCUCAUUUAUAUUCAGAAAAUAGAAAUGUAGAAAAUUUUUACUUUUGAUUUCUAUUACAAACUUAUUUUUGGAACAAAAAUCUAUUUCAAAAAUAGAAAAAUGAAAUAAUUUUAUUAAAUGGAUUUUUAUUCCAGAAACAAGUUUGGAAUAGAAAAAUUGUUUCUGGAACAAAAUUCUGGUUUGUCAUGUGCUCCCUUAAUAUGUAGUAGCUUAGAAUGUGCUUUACAACUUUCAUGAACGACACACGUGACAUCCUGAAUUUUCAACCAUAUUUCGAUAAAUGAACUGGGCUUUUCAUUGACGCGUCUAUGGUCCUUUUUCUUGGAGCUAAUCACUCUCGAGUUAACCGAUCUAUUAGGUGAAGCUGCUAAGGGAUAUAAACACGACAGACUUGAGAAUUCGAUCAGAGUUCGAUUACUCGACUGUGAUAAUCGGCAAAGGUUAAUACAGCACCGUUAUAAUCAACUAGUGAUCGGAUAUAGGUCGAUUCGAUGGAAUUGCAUAAUUAAAUUGUGGGUGAUUCCACAUGAUUGCAAAAUUCGCGUUGAACGGCAUUAACCCAAUUUUCUGUCGAUUCUGAACUCAGUGUCCGUACUUGAAACCUUGAGAUUUUUACGAUAACCGAGAGUUGCCGACGAGUUGAGGAUGCACAAACAUGGAUCGAAAAUCAUCGACCACGUGUCUAACGCAAUAAAAUCCCUAAAAGAUACCCAAUAGGUUGGGUCAUGCUAAAAGCUACCCAAUAGGUUGGGUCAUGCUAAAAUUGUAUUCGGUUGAUUUUAACUAUGAAAUUGAACUCGGUUUUGUGAAUCGGACGUUCGAGCAUGUCACGAUUCAGUUUUAAGACGUCUUCUUGUCUUUUGGAAAAUUCCAUCGAGCCGGGAAUUUUUCAGAAUGAUUCAAAUUUGACAAAAAGAAUUAGGGAAAUUAGGAGGGGCACUAUUGGUUGAAAUUUUGGCCAUCAAUUUGGAUAAUUUGGUGAGUAAAAUGGAAGAAAUUCGUAGGGGCUAAAUUAUUGGGGUUUUCGGCCUUGAAAUUGAUUUGAUUUGUGAGGAAUUGAAAGAAAAUAGAGGGAAAUUCGUAUGGAUAGCAAGGGGGACAUUUUUGGGCUGCCAAAGGGCUUUGUUUGGGUGAGGAAAUGGUGGAAUUGGCUAUUGUUUGCUGCCAAGACUUGAGGGGCUGAAAAACUUAGGUGGCCAUGCACUCAAGUGCAUGGGAUAUUUGUGCUUGACUUCCUUGGCUUCUUGUNNNNNNNNNNNNNNNNNNNNNNNNNNNNNNNNNNNNNNNNNNNNNNNNNNNNNNNNNNNNNNNNNNNNNNNNNNNNNNNNNNNNNNNNNNNNNNNNNNNNUUUGAAAACAUUAUGGAUAAGUACUCUAUGAGUUAAAAUAGCAUCUUUGUUGCAUAAAAUAGGAUCAAGCCUUUACUGCUAUUUUGUUGUUUAAUAGGGAAUAUGAUCAUUUGACUUCAACUUGAAUGAUUGCUUAUAAAUGGUUUGUGAAACCUUUUAUGAAAGGACCUUGAAAAGUUCAUGAUUUGUUAAAGUGGUUGUGAAAAGUGCUUUGAUAUUUAAAUAUUGAUUGCUAGAGUUGUGAGAUAAUUUCGAUUUUGGUUAUGGAGUACUGAAGAUUUGUGAUUGAUGGUUAAUGCUCAGUGUCUCUGUGAACCCUAAGGGGUUUGUGGGCAUGCACAUACUAGUCUAAGAUAUCCUUGUGGGUCGAGCCACCAACUAAUAAUAGAUGGAGACCUAACCAAUGAGGGAAUCUUGGUCGCUUAAUCAUGAGUGUGACGCGUGAAUAUGGUUAGAUGCUUGUGGACCAUUGACGUGUGUUUUUAUGAGAUUGGCCAAUGGACUGGACUACUAGGGUUUGCUUUGUUAUUUAUCUUGGGUAUUUUUGCUAUGAACAUAUUAUGUUAAAGUAAGGGAUAUCACACUUUGGUCUUGAAGGUUUGCUAAACUCUGGAUUUUAGUGAAAGUGAAUUAUAUUUGUAUUUUAGAUGUGCAUAAUUAUUGUUUGAUUCGCUUAGAAAAAAUGUAUUACUCACUAAGUUAUGGUAGUUCAUUACUUUCAUCUACUUGCUUUUAUAGGUUCUUUAGUGAGCCAUAAAUAAGUCGUGAGCAUUGCAUUAUUGGGGAGGGCUUUUUGUUAGUGAAGACUUUUUGGUAUGAGUUAUAUGUAGUUGAUAAGUUUAAAAGUUAGUUUUUGAUGGAGGUGUAUAUAUUGGUCUGGUUGUUUAUAGAAAUACUUUGAUAUUGUAAUCAAAUGCCAUUUUUGUCAAAUAUAUAUACUAUAUGUGAUGUACAUAUAUAUUGCUAGUAGGUUGAAUUUUGGUUAUGUUGAGGAUGCAUUCUUUGAUGAAAGGAUGGCUGUGUCACGCCAUUCUUCUUGUUGAGUUAGGGUAUGACAAGAACAUAAGAUGAAUGAAUCUAACUUAGCGAGGAGGAUGAUAUAGGAACAUUUGACUUAGCUUAAUUAGCCUAAUUAGCACCAUCAUUGCUCAUUUAAGCCAAGAUAGAAUUUGGGCAUAGCGUGCUUCAAUGAGUCAAGACCAAAAUUUCCAACUAAAACGGUACUGAACCAUUUUUACCGAAGUUAUCGAUACUGAUGAUUAUAAGUUACCGAAAUUAUCAACUUGAUAUAUUUGUCGUUGAUUUCUUGGUACGCUUUAGUAAUUGCUGAUCCCAAAGUUUAUCAAUGACAUAUCAAUGGAAGGUCCUUCUAAAUAACUUCCUCGGUUAUUUAAUGAAGUCUCGGGGUAUUUAUUUUCUGGUCAAAAUAGGAGCAUGAAUUUUGCACGAUUGAAGAAUAAAAAAUGCAAGUUCCCAAGUCAUUAAAUGCACUCUAUUUUCCUAGGAGUCUUUAUUGUUCUUUAAGUUUCAAGAGUUAAAGUUUUGAGUUCAUAGGUCUUUAAUGUCGGGUUAAUUCCCAUGUCUAUUUAUUAUUUUUAUAUUUCCUAAGUUGAAUUCCUAUUACAAAUAGAAGAAGUCUCUCAAUUAUAACCGGACAAGAUUUUAUGAAUGAAAAUACUUGAGAUUUUUUAUGUGCGAGCGAAUAUCUUUAGAGAAUUGAUAACUCCUAUUUCAAUCCUUUUAUCCUUGAAAACUGGAUUACUUCUUAGUGGUGAGCCAAGAAACCCUUUAUUCUCGGCUGGUGGAUUUUCCUUUAGGCCCUGAUGGGGAGCUUCUUCUAUUACGAAAUCCUUUAUUCUUGGCGGGUGGUUCAUCCUUUAAGGGCCUGUUUGGCAACUUGCCCAACAGUGCCAGAUUCUGAUUUUUUGUUCCCAGAAUCAGUUUGGGACGAGAAUCGCGUUUGGUAAAUUUUUUGUUCCCGGGAACAAUUUUGGACAAGAUUUGAGAAUCAAAAAAAAUUUGAUUCUCGUCCGAGAAUCAGACAAAAGAAUCAAACGGUAAAACCUUGUUCUUCUCUUUUAUCAUCUCGGUUGCCAUUCGCCAUCGCCCGCCGCCGUCCGCUGCCGCCCGCCGCCGCCUGCCGCCGCCCGCCGCCGCCGCCGGUCACCGGUCCGCCGCCGGCGCCGGUCCGGCGAGAUCGCCGAAGCUCCGCCAGCCAGGGCGAGGUCCGGNNNNNNNNNNNNNNNNNNNNNNNNNNNNNNNNNNNNNNNNNNNNNNNNNNNNNNNNNNNNNNNNNNNNNNNNNNNNNNNNNNNNNNNNNNNNNNNNNNNNNNNNNNNNNNNNNNNNNNNNNNNNNNNNNNNNNNNNNNNNNNNNNNNNNNNNNNNNNNNNNNNNNNNNNNNNNNNNNNNNNNNNNNNNNNNNNNNNNNNNNNNNNNNNNNNNNNNNNNNNNNNNNNNNNNNNNNNNNNNNNNNNNNNNNNNNNNNNNNNNNNNNNNNNNNNNNNNNNNNNNNNNNNNNNNNNNNNNNNNNNNNNNNNNNNNNNNNNNNNNNNNNNNNNNNNNNNNNNNNNNNNNNNNNNNNNNNNNNNACGAAGGCCGACCUCGCCGAGGGGCUGGCGGCGCUCCGGUGAGCGUCGCCGGGCCCUCGUCUGGCCCGGUCGCCGGUCCGGCGACCGGCCAAAUGAAGAAGAAGAAGAAUAGGAAAAAAGGGGAAAAAAAGAAAAAAGAAAAAGAAAAAAAGAAAAAAAAAGGAAAAAAAAAGUAAAAAGUAAAAAAGUGAAGAAAUUAUUUAAAAUUUAUUUAAAAAUCAAAAGAAAUUAUUUAAAAUUUAUUUAAAAAUCAAAAGAAAUUAAUUUGGAACAGAAUCAAUUAAUACGGUACCAAACGCAAUUCUAUUCCAGAAUAAAAAAUUUUGAACAGUUACCAAACACGUGUUUUUACUCAGAAUCAGUUCCCGGGAACAGAAUCAAAAAGAAUCAGUUCUUAUCAGAAUCAGCUCCCGGGAACAGAAUCGUUACCAAACGCGCCCUAAGCUUUGGUGGUAAACUUCGUUUAUUCCAAUUAUCAUCCUUGGUUGGUGGCGUAUCCUUAUACUUGGUGACAAUCGUUUUCUAUCCCUAUAUUUGUAUUUCAUCCUUUGACAACCAUCCCAUACACAUCUCUUUCCAUACACUUAACCACAAAAUCUCUACAACUCGGAAUCACUCGCCCAAGCAAGCAUCAAGGAUACUGCAAGAAAAAUUUGUACCGUAAAGGUAAGCCACUUGAUGAAAUCAUAUCCAAAUUUAUAACAGCAUACCAUCCAAAGAUGUGGUCGAUGGCAGCGGACGGCGGUAGGCGGAGGAAGAAGAAGAGACGGAAAAAGAAAAAAAAAAAAGAAAAAAUCUCAAAAAAUUAUUAAAAAAUUAAAAGAAAUUCUACGUCAUAAAAAAUUAUGGGUCAAACCAAACGCAUUUAUGUUUUUUUUUUCCUAUUUCGAGAACAGAAAAUUUAUACAAUUACUAAAUGCAUUAUUUUACUCAGAAACUGUUCAAAAGAGUAUAAAUAAAAAAGAACUAUUUCUAAAAAGAAAUUAUUCUUAGGAACAUAAAUGUUACCAAAAGCACCAUAAUUCUUCAUGAGGUUAAAAUAUUGAGGUUUUAAAUGUAAUCUAGUAUUGCGAAGCACUUGAGCAUGAAGUGGAAUAUUUGCGAUGCACUCUUUUUGUGAAGUAAGAUUCAGACCAAACUACUUAAAUCUCUUAUGUUCUUUAUUGUUCCUUAUUGAUUUAUCUGGUUAUUUCAUUCUCUUGAAUUAAUUUAAAGGCAAGUCCCAAUUAGCUUCCGCAUUAAUCUUACAGCAAUUAUUAUCGGAGUUGAGACCAGGAUUUUUUUGGAUUUGAUUUGGAGCUUUUGCUUAUCUAAUCAUUAUCUAGUAAUUAUGUUGUUGCAAUUAUGUGUGGAGCAAAAAUAGAAAUUGAGAAGUUUAAGGGAGGUACAACUUGGGCGGUGAAGUGAGAUAGGUGCACUAUUAAUAGACAGGGUUUGGCCUAGGCAUUGGAUGACAAAGCUAAGUUGCCAAUAAAUGCUGAUAAUGAUGAGUUAAUGAAGACGGUAAAGAGUAUCCAGGACUAACUACUAAAGGCCAAGCACCCCAAGUCAUGUUCUGCUAAAUUGAACCUGAAAGUUAGAACUUAAGGUGAAUCCCAAAUCAUAAUCAACUUUUUGCUAUAGUAGCUUGUGUCCUUCGAUGCUAAGUCUUAUUGUAAACAUAAGAAACUUCGUCACAACAUCAAUGGGGAAAAAGGGGAGGAAAAAGUGAAGAAGAAAGAAAGAAGAUAGUUCAAUCAAAAGGAGGGAAACAUGUGGGACAAGGAAGAAGAAUUUGAGGGCAUAAGAAAACAAAGUAGAGAGUAGGAAAAAGAGAGGGGGAGUAUAAAGAAGAGAAUAAAAUAAGGGAGAGAGAAUGAUCACCGAGGAAAAUGGAAAAUGAAAAUAGAGAGUGAGCAGAGCAACUAAGAGAGAUGGAAAUGAGCAACAUGUGUGCUCCCGAGAUCCGACGAACUAGAUUAAAUCCAUUUCGUGACACACAGUAUGGAUUUGAACUUCAUUGAAAUUUCAUAGUUGGGCUGUUAAUUCGAAUCCAUUCAAAUUCUGAGUUAUUGGGUUCAUUGGAUAAAAGAUUACUAGAUGCUCCAAGUAUCAAGAUAAAUAAGUCUUUAUUUUAAGUUCUUCAUUAGAGGUUGUGCCCCACUGCAUAAUUUGACAUGCGAAGAACAAAUUAAGUAGAUCGAUAUGAUAGAGUCUAAUUAGUAGAAGUAAGCUUUCUUGAUGCACAAACCGUGCGGAUCCUCAACUGGACAGUAAUGGACCCGAAUGCUUUGAAGAAUUCACACCACCAAACAAAAAAAGUGGUAGGACGUUUGUCUGCGGAGGAUCUCCAAUGCCCAGGUCAAUGUAUUUUUGCAGAAGGAGAGGCUAAAUAUUGAGGAGGCAUACAUUGCCAAAGGACAUUUGUAUUUUGUAGAGGGGGAUCACGGGCUUACUAUUCUGGGCUUAUCCACAAGUUAGUGUGCUCUAUAAGCUUUUUUGCUUACCUGUAGGGCCCAAUUUUUCUUGUAUUCGUCAAGCUUGGCCCAACCAAUGCGAUGAAUCAAGCAGAAUUCUCUUCUUACUUUAGUAUAGCUCCAAGAGAAGUGACAGUCUUAUGAGUGGUAGAUGCAUAUUCAAGCUACCAUGCAAUGCAUAACGAAGCAGUAUGACAAUGUUUAAGAAGAGUCAGAUUAUGAGAGGUAGGUCAAUAUUCAGGACAAGUGGUCCAUAUACAUGAUCUUAUAGAGCUAAAUGCAACUGGAUGGAAAUAGAAAAGUUCACUCCAUCUUAAGAUGAUUACAGAGCGAUCUAAUGAAAUAGUUAUUAAUUAGAAGUAAAUAAAAGAAAAAAAAUUCAUCUCGUGCUUUAACGUUUUUUCUAAUCAAUUCCUGGUACUUUUAAUUUUCUAACAAAAUCCUUCUUCUUGCACAAAUAAUCAAAUGAAGAUCUUCCAACACCAUAUUUAGUCAAACCCGUUUGAUAUGAUAGUCCAACAACAUCAGGACACUUUAUCAACAUGGAUGCUAUCAUGGGAAAAAAAAUAAAAAAGAACAUAAUUCGUCAACAUUGACAAAAUCCGACAUCACACUUUGAUGUUGUUCGACAGUGGCAACGGGGGAUUUGAUUAGAUAAUCUGUGCUAGUGAAAAAAUUUAAUUAGAAAAAUCACAAAUCGAUUAAAAAAUUUCAUUACAGUAUAGGAGCGGAAAGCAACAUUUUUCCUGAAUUAUAAUAUCCAACGGAAAAGCAUAGUAGGAGGGAGAAUUCUCGCAUAGAUUGAGUUCGAGGCCCGACCACAUAUAAUCACAUGGAGUUCUACAAUAAGAAAAAAGAAUGGAAAAACCAUCCUUUUAUUUUAUUUUUAUUUUUUAUUUUCGCUUCUUCAGCUCACAGUUGUUGCCUGUCCAUGGCCGAGCCACGCCCUCCGUCAUCAAGGCGGCUCGCAGUCGUUUCCCAUCCAAAGCUGAAUCUAAAGUUGUGCCGCCAGAUCUAGCCUCAAGAACGGCCGCAAGCCUUUGCUUGUCCAUGGCCUGUGAGGUAGCACAUCCACAUAUCUAGCGGCCACGGCUCAUCCGUCGCUGUGAGCCUUGACAUUGAGCUCGAUAUCCCAAUGGCCAUCAACUGUGAGCUCAGACAGCAAAUGAAAAACAGACGAACGAAGUCGAAGGCUUGAGUGCAGCAUGGGUGAGUGACGCCAACGACGCUUGAACGCUCUCGGUCAUGGACGAACUACGCUAAGGACAGCCAAGGACGAACUAUAUGCCAACGGCAGCAUUGAACGCGUUCGGCCAUUGACAGCCAAAUCUGGAGAGCAACGCCAGUGGAGGCUAGACGUGGCGCCGGCAAAGUGAACGAGGAAAUAAAAUUAGUUAACAAACUCUUGAGAAUUGGGAUGACAUAGUCAGAAGUCUGCCCUUUUGCUUCUGCCACUAAAAUCUCAUCCUAGAAGAAAGUAGAAUUGCUUACGGAUGUCAUCUAAUUAGUCUCUUCUACCAUCAUCUUUGCCCAUUUCACAGUGAUUGGCACAGGAAAGACUAAUAUUUUCUCCUCUCAGAUCUAGUCGUCCGUGACAAUGUAAUACUAGGGCCAAGGAUUGCGCGUGUUAGUAAUCUUGACAGAUUUUGGAGGAGGACGGGCUAGAUUGACUUGGAUGAUCACUGUUUGGGACAUUGCAAAAUUGCCUACUUCUGCUUGUUUUCUCUACAUUUCUCCUCUUGGUCUUUUGCACUCUUCAGUUAUUUGAGAAAUUUGUAGAAUCAUUCACUUACCCACACAAAACAAAUAGCUUGCUCUCUAUGACCACUUAAUAGAUAACAGUGACAGAAAUUGACUGUAAAGCACUCAACUACGAAGUUUAAUUGGAUAUUUGGAAUGUUUUCAUCGUCAUGUAAAAAAUGACUCCUGAUGGCAUAAAUAAAAAGGAUGACAUCUGACACAAAGAUUCAGGCAAACUCAUUCCCAAAUGAGGCUACUUCUUUCAAUUUCUAUCAAUCAGCCAUCACAACUACUGAUGGCUAACGAGUCACCUGCCAGCGCCACUGAUACCAAUACAUUGAGCAACGGUGCGCUGGUUCUAUAUUUGCAUAGUGCCACACUUUCAGAAAAAGUAUCAUAUGCGUUGGAAAUUAUUAUCCAAGUUGUCGAAAAUCUGGACGAUGCUUCCAUGUGGCAAGUAAUCUGUUAUUCACAAAGCGAAUGACUUCCCUCAAUGAAUGGUCAGUUAGCAAAUCCUCAAAGCAGAGUAGAACCACACGCAAACUGCAUUCCUUGCACUUGAGUUUAUCAAGGAGAGUGUUCUAUUGGAGCCAUCAAUUUAGCUUUCAUUCCCUUAACCAUAAUGCAUAGAGAUCCAUUCAGUUCUUCCUGACUCCAUGUCUGCAUCAUCCUGCAAGACAAUGUACUUCUCGUUUCUGCCCCAGAAGACUUCUCCCUUGAAAAAACCACAAGGGCUUGCAGACACACUGUAAUAUGCCUACGGAACAAUCAAUUUUGUCCUUUUUCAUUUUUUAUUUUUCGGAAUUUUUUCCAUCUCAUCAUCCUAGAUCAGGAAAAGAUGAGUUGGUCUUCUACCUACAUUGGAGGACAAUAAAAUGCAACUAUGAUCCAUUCACCAUGCCCUAAUGUCCAAACAUUACAGUUUUUUGCGUCACAAGCAUUCAUGAACUGUAGGGAAAAGCCAAUCACAACCGCAAAUCUACAAGUACAAGGACAAUGACACAGCCAUCCUUUUAUCCAAAGGACACAACCUCAACAUUACUAUCAUCAACCUAUUGUCAAUACAUAUACAUCUAUAUAUAUUUGAUAAAAGAGUCAUCUGGUUAUAAUAUCAGUGUUUCUAUAAUCCAUAAAAAGGAUAUGUACAUCUCCAAACAACAACCAAACUCAAAGGUUCAAUUCAACCAUAAACAACUUAUACCUAAAAAAUACCAUUAUUAAAACAUCCUCCUGAAGACGAAAAUGCUUUCUUCCUAUUUGCAGCUCGUUGAAAAACCCGAGUAGCAAGACGAAUGGAAUGAGCAACUACAGCUCAAUAAGUAGUACAUCUUUUUAAGUAGAUUGAACGUUCACUAUGCAUCUUUAUAAUACAAUAUCGUAACUCAAUAAUCUCCAAUUCAGUAUAUGAUAUACAUAAAAUAUCGAAGACUGAUGAUAUCUUUUCAAUAAAACUUAGUAUAAGAUCAAUUAACAAUAUCAACUUACAAUAACAAAUCAAUCAUCAAUGGUUUAUUCUAUCGAUCAAUCUCAAUCUAGUCUAUUCAGUAAACUAAUCCAAUGCUCGAUACAUAACUAUGGCCAUGCUUAACGCUCGUGACAAACACGACCAAGUUUUCGGCCCUUGACUAGAUCUCCUUUUAUAUCAGUAGGUGGUUUGGCUUAGACGGAUGUCCUAAUAACAGUAUGCAUACUUACCCCUUCAAUAGAUUCUAAUCAUAGCGACAUAGGCAUAAUCCAUUAACAACAUUCUCCAAUAACCCCCAAUUAAAUCAUAAAUUCAUGUCACAAAUUAGUUCCACAAACCUAAUCAUAUGACCUUUUCUCAAUUCCUUUUAUCAAAUAUGCUGCAUCUCAUAAACAUUUCACAAUCAAUACAUAUAGCUUUUGGCAAUUCUUUUUACAAAACAUUUAAUCAAGACUUUUACAAUUGAUUAUUUCAAACUAUUUCAAAUAUUGCCUUCAAAUGCCUUGUCAACAGACUAAAAAAGUAGUAAAUGCUUGAUCUGAAAGCUCAUUACUCAUAAGGUAAGAUUCCCUUCUCUUCAUCCAAGAUGUGUUUAUCCCUUGUUGUCAUGAUAAUCUUACUCCCAGAAUUAAAAGUGUCAAGCCCCUCAACUAGUUUGUUAAGUUGUUCUUCCUUGUCUAGAUUGUCUAGAACAAUGAGAACUUUCUUAGAACGAGCUCUCCUUCUUAUGCUCCCUUCAUUAGUUUAUGCGAUAAACCCUCUAUAGAUUUACUAGGCCAUUUCCCUUUAAUGAUUCUCAAAUAUCCCCAAUGAAUCUACAUUGUCCAUCAAAGUGAGGACACAAUUCAUUGUAAACAAUCUUAGCGAGAGUAGUUUUACCGAUCCCUCCCAUUUCAUGGAUUCCAAUGAAAUGCACACCAAUGCUAGAGUCAACAUCUAACGACUUCAUUAAGGCUUCUACAUAUUCAUCUACCCCAACCAAUUUGCCUUCCAAAGGUCUUUGUUUUACUUUUAGCUUACGCAGAACCUCUUUCACAAUGAGAUCAAUGAUUUCACCUUGUCUGCACUAACAAAAUAAAUGGCAAUCUCACUACUACUUCCUUGCAGAUAACAUUUGAGUUUGAUCACUAUUUCAAGUGUUUGGUAAAUUCUAUAAAGCCAGAAGAAUUUUGGUUGGAUAGACUCCACAAGAUAUGAUUGGUGUUAUGAUGAUAAACUUACAAUUUCACCCUAUUUCUGAAAAGGGAAAAAGCCACAAAAAAACCCCAAACUUUGCCCAAAAUGAUAAAAUUACUCCAAAUUUUUGUGACAUAAAAAAUCUCAAAUUUUGCUAAUUGUGACACAUUUAUCCCAAACUCUAUGGCCAAUGGCAUUUUUGUCUUAUUUUUUCAUUUUUCUGUUUUUCCUUUCAUUUUAUUUUUUUUUUUCCCUUUUUUCUUCUUCUCUCUUCCCUCUACCGGCCAUGGCGGAGGGAAGCCGGACUCAAGUGAGGGCAGCCCUCGCCUGGGUGUUGGCCUCGCCAGAUCUGGCAAGGGCAACCCUCUCCCUACGCAAGGUGAGGGCGCCCUCGCCUAGGCCGGAUUUGGCGAGGAAUGGCCUCACCUGACGCCAGCGAGGGCUACCCUCACUUGCGUUGGGCAAAGGUUGCCCUUGCUAGAUCUGGCACCCCUUGCCUAACCUAAGCAAGGGCCGCCCACACCAACCCAAGCGAGGGCGACCCUCACCCGAUGCUGGCGAGGGCAGCCCUCGCCUGAGUUCGACUUCCCUCCAUCGGCCAACAGAGGGAAGAGAGAAGAAUAAGAAAAAAAAAGAUUUAAAAAGUAAAAGACGAAAAUAUCUUAUAGUUUAGGGUAAAUCCAUCACACGGAUACAAGUUUAUGAUUUUUUCUGUCACGAAAAAAUAUUUGAGGUAAAUGUGUCACGAUUUGCAAAGUUUGGGGUUUUUUAUGUCACAAAAAAUUUGAGAUAAAGUUGUCACUUUGGGCUAAAUCUGAGAUUUUAGAUUUUUCUUGCAGUCGAUACAGACAUCAUUCUAGAUUAGAUCAAAUCACUCAUAUAACUAUCGCCCACAAAUUGCCCUACUUAUGUAUCACAGUGAUGAAUUGGCUCUCUUUUUGGUGAAAAAUGAAAUUUAUACUCAUAUCCAAAUUACAAGAGCGACAAGAGAAUAGCAUUUCGACUGAAGCUUGAAAAAAUUUCAAUUAAUAAGCAUUUACUUACCCUCUCCCUUGGAGUCCACUCCUUGAUUUUACCCACUUUACUCACAGCCGCCUCCCACCGUUCCCUGCUCUCACCGCUAGGCCUCUGCUCGUGCUUAUCCAAAUCCUCCACGUACAGUUACGUCUUGAGCGUGACAUCAGAGGGUGCGACGUCAAAGAAGAUGUGUAGGAUCUCCGGCUUCCCAGUCGAUUCGUUGAGCUCCAUCACACGAGCGAGCUUGCGGAGGCACCAAGCGCUCAAAGCGUAGCCUCUGGAAAGGACUAGUAUGCAGAUCUUGCAGUCGCAGACCACUCUUAGGAGAUUGUCGAUCCGAUCGCCAGUGUGAAUCUCUUCGCUGUCACUGUAGGCGACAAUCCUUUAGCUGACCAUGGUCCGAGAGAGGCAGUCAGCGAAGAUGUUGCGAGUGUCAAGGCACCUGAGUUAGAAUUUAAGGCCAAUCCCAAAUCAAAAUCAACUUUUUGCCCCAGCAAGCUUGUGCCCUUCGAUGUUGAGUCUUACUGCAAAUAUAAGAGACUUUGUCACAACGUGAACACGAGGUGUGGUAAUUGAAGAAAAAAAAGAAAGAAAGGGGAGAGUUUAGUCAAAAGGAAGGGAACAUAGGGGACAAGGAAGAAAAAAUUGAAGGCAUAAGAAAACAAAGGAGAGAGAAGGAAAAAGAGAGGCAGCGUAAAGAGGAGAAUAAAAUGAUGGAGCGCCGUUUGAGCAGAGACCUCAUCACUGCCCCUCGCAGUUGAGUAAACUCCAACACUUCUCUCGCAAUUUCGCAAGAUUUCCAAAUUCGAUCGCCAUUGUAAAUUCAUUCACCUCUCCAUCGCCUGAAUCGGUCAACUUUUGUUUAUAUAAUUGAGCAUGGACAAUUGAAAACAUCCGAAAAUGUGGUUUAUGGAGGAAAUGUCAAAUUACUUUUCGAUAUGAGGCGUGAAGUCUUUGGACUUUCAUCUGGCAUGCCCUUCUUUUCGAUUAUAAUUUGAUUUUCUGUUGGAUAUAUGAAUCCAAGAUUUGGUCAUCAAGAUAACUAAAGGCGGUGAUUUGACAUGUACGUCCAAGGUUUGACCAAGAUCAAGAUUUGGGACUCCUCUGAUUGCCAUAAAGUGAGGGACUCCUUUGCCACACGUGAAAGAGGGCUGAAAGGCUGGAUAGUAAAGUUCCUUUCUUUGGCCGCACAAAAGGAGCAAGAAACACAGUGACUUGUGCAGAAAAUUCAACAUCUAAUUGAGGCAUUUUUCUUUUUGUGCAUACAUGAGUGCUUCAAUUUGUCAGGUAAUUCUUAAUGAUUUAUAUAUCUAACUAUUACAUGAGACUAAAUACUAUAUGAUUAGGUAUAAUCUAGGGUUAGGAAACUCUUGAGUGUGCCGGGAAGUGUAACUCUAUAAUUUUUCAAUUGAAUAAUAAAUUAUUUGUGGCUAGUUCUUCUCAUGAAAUAAGUACAGGUCAUCGAAGUAAAAUACAUAAGUCCUUUUGUAUUCUUUAUUGUUACUCAUUGAUUUCUCUUGUGAUUUCGUUCUCUUGUGCUGAUUUAAUUGCAAAAAUAUGUUAACUAUCAGAUUAUUUUACAAAGGAUAUUUUGGAAUAGUUUAUAGGCUUUUUGCUUGUUUGACCGUUCUCUGGAAAUACUACUAUUGCAAUUACAUUGGAGCAAAAAUAGAAUUGAAAAGUUUAAUGGGACAAAUGACUUUAGAUUGUUGAGUGUUAUGCCAUCAACAACCAAAUAAUGUCUAAGGUGUUGAAUGGCAAGACUAAGUAGCCCGGAAUGAUGAGAGAUGCCAAUAGAGGAUGAGUUAAUGGAGGGGGCAAAGAGUAAAAUUAUGUUGAACCUUUCAAAUGAGGUGUUAAUAGAGGUGAUUGAAGAAAAAGAUGCCAUAGCAAUGUAGCCCACUUAGAUGAGUUUAAUAAUCUCAUAAUGGAUCUUGAAGAACCUUGAUGAGACCCUAUCUUAUGAAAAACAAGACAUGAUAAUGUUGGUGUCUCUACAAAAGUCGUUAUUAAUUAUUACUGGGGCGUAUAACAAUUGUGGUAAGUUAAUAGAUGGAAAUUAUAUUCAAACUAAUAGCAGUAAACCAUCCAAAUAUGUGGUUCAAUUCCUGAUUGGUUUUUGUAUUUCGGUAAGCUAGCACUAUUGGUGACAGGGUGACCGUACAACAGUGACUUCUAGAGUCGAGCUCAGUGCUGGGUUCGAGAGACCCUACAGAUUAGUGGCGUGUUCUACUAAUGAUAUUUGUUGGUCUCCGUCAUGACUUCCGCAUUUGUUUCCAUUGAUCUUCUCUAUUACAAGAAAAAGUGAAAUAUUCUUCUCCAAGUAUUGUAGCAUAAGAAAAUUUAAAUAUCAUCCAAUCCAUCCGCUUUCAUGUCCGAACAUUGCAAUGCUUCAUAUCAUAUUCAAGGUACAAUACAUUUGUUAUUUAAGGAUUACGUAGAAAAAUCAAUGAAUCGUUCAUAAUAAUUGGUAGACAAAUAGUGGAAAUAGGAGCACUAAAUAGUGUAAUAUGACUUAAUAAUAAUAAUAAACUACCCAUAUGCCAAUUCGUUGCAUUUUUAUAGAUUAGUAGGACACUCCUAACACCCCAAUCAAUCGCACCAACCUUUAAGAUUGGACCUACAACUUUUAUUGACAUAAUUAGCAUGAGGCACGAUAUUUAUGUUACCACUAUGUCAUCUUCAAUUAUUUGUCAAACUAGAUAUUUUUUAAACAUAAUUUUAUCAAUUGGGUCGAAGAGAACAUUUCUUUUAUUAGAGAGAUGUACAAAUAUAUAUAUUUUUUCAUUUCGGAUCCCAAUUCCAUCCACUUGGUAGCACAAUUCACAUGGUAAGUGCUGGCCAGUUUUAGUCACUAAAGUGGCGGAGUGAAAAAAAAAAAAAAAAACAAGCCAAGUUAAUGUCAUCAUAAUGCACUUUGGCUGCAUUUGGUAACCCAUUUGUAAAGCCUUCUGCAAAAUCAUAUGUUUACCAAAUAACAUUUCUCUUAAAAUUAUUUUCCAAGAUAUUUUUUAAUUUAUUUUACCAAACGGUCGUUAUUUUGCGUGCUUUUCAAAUUAAAAUCUUUGCAUUUCUCCAAAAGAAAAUUCAAAUCAAACGCAGCCUAUCAUGACCAUAGGUCCACAGCCACCAAAGCUACUCCUAGGGCGCGUUUGGUAACGAUUCUGUUCCCGGGAACAGAUUCUGACAAGAAAUGAUUAUUUUUUAUUCUGUUCCCGGGAACUGAUUCUGAGUAAAAGAAUGUGUUUGGUAACGAAUAAAAUUUCUGAUUCUGGAAUAGAAAAAGAAUAAAAACACGUUUGGUAACAGUAUAAAAUUUCUAUUCCAAUUCUUUUUUAAUUACCUUUUUAUAUGAAUAUAAAUUGAUAUUGAAUUUUCAUAAACCAUUCACUGAUUAAUUAUAUUUUUAUACUAAGUAAUAAAAAUAUUAACUAACCAAUUUUUAUUAAAUAGUAAAUAAUAAACCAUAGUAUAAACUAUACUAAUAUCUAAUACAUAUAAAUACUAAAUUAUAAUAUAAAAUUAAAUAUGUAUUAUGUAUACAGUAAAUAUAUAUUUCAAGAUAGGAAGAAAUUAAAAUAAAAUAUAGAAAUAAAAAAAUAGAUAAAAAUAAAAAAAAAUUUGUUGUUAUUUUAAAUUUGGUUUUCUUAUUAGAAUUUCAAUAUUAUUUAUAUUUAAAUAAGAUUUUUUUUUUUAUCAUGGUGAUUCUCAUUUUCAAUUAAUAUUUACUUUUAUAUGAUUAAAUAUCUAAUCCAUUUUGAAUUUAAUAUGGAUGAUNNNNNNNNNNNNNNNNNNNNNNNNNNNNNNNNNNNNNNNNNNNNNNNNNNNNNNNNNNNNNNNNNNNNNNNNNNNNNNNNNNNNNNNNNNNNNNNNNNNNGAUUAGCACUAAUGAAUGUGGUUAGUCUAAUUAGUGGAUCUCCCUCGGAUCUGGUUGCUGGACGCUCGCCGUUACCAUUUUAUGGAUUAAAUGUGUUACGAUUUGAGGUUGAUUCAUUCUUGAAAAAUGUUCUAGACAUCUUUAAAUAUGACUAUAUUUUACUCAAGAUUUUAAAGAUUUAAAAGAAUGAGAUUUCAAUUUCGUUAUUUGCGAAACAGAAUCUCGGAUUGUGUUGAAAAUAAUGACCUUUUAGUGUUUAAUGAAUUUUUAUCAAUUCCUAGGAUUCGAAUUUUGAAAUGGUCCUCCACAAAAGUUUUUCCUCACAUCUUGUAGUUUAACAUAGUAAAAUUUCAAAUCAAAAUGACAAGAUUUGGAUCUCGAACCAAACUGAUUUUGGAGAAUAUAAUUUCUGGACAUGGUCACAAUUUUGGUAACAAUUUGGGCGAUUUACUUCUCUCAAUCUAGAAAGAUCUGAGUUAAAGUGUCUUCAUAAAAAGUGUUUUCUUAUGUGUCAUUUACAACAUAUUCAAAUUUGAGAAUUUUCUGAACUUGUUUGAUUAGGUUUCUGGAAUUAAACUUGCAGACGUGCAAGUGGUCCCAUUUUCUACCGGUUAGGCCCGAUUAUAGUUUUGUGGUUGUUCUUGGUAUCUAACUUGCUAGAUAAUGUAUAUUUGGUGAUGUGGUUGACUUUUAGCAUGCUCGGAGCUUAUGCUUGAUAAUAUGUGAAAUUGAUUGUUUAAUUGUGCAAUUUGGUGCUUGGUUGUUAUUAUGAACUAUUAUUGCAAAAAUUGGAUUUUAUGGUAUUUAAAUAGAAAAAUACUGGGUGUCAGUUUUCGACACAAAAAUAUUUUAUGUAUUAUAUAAAAUCGUGGAAUUUUGAAAUGGGAGAGUACCACGUUUAUUGGCUCGAUUUAAAGGUGUGACCACAUACAAUUAUUUUACCGAGAAUUUUUAAUACGGAGAAAAUUGGCCAAGUCCAUUAUUUAAAAUUGAAGUAUUUGAGUGCAAAGCAUGAUGUUUUUUUGCCAAGUAUGGAUGUGCAUGUGGUCACUAUCGGAACCUGUCAUCCAUCGGGAAUCGAGGAGGCGAUGUCUUAUUAAAUUCAGAUGCCAUUGACAACGGAUGCUGGUCGCAGUGGAGGGUGAGCCGAUGCUCAUUUGAGAAUGCCGUCUAGAUGUAGAUGUUGUCAUGCCCAACGAAGUGAGAUGACACCUGGUUAUGCCGAAUGACUGCCAACUGUUGAGUUGGAUAUGGCCGAUGGGUUGUAAUAACUGAGAUACGCCUGAGUAAUUAAGAUAGCCGCGCUUGAUUAUAGGGAAAAAUGUGUGGCAUAGAAUGGGACGUGUUAUAAUGGUUUUAUUUUAUAAUCGAAACCCUUGUAAAUAUUUAAUGAAUGAUAUGAGGUGUUCCAGUUAUUGAAUACGUUUGAUAUAUGCAUAUGAUAUUUUUGAUGAGCUAAUGUGUAGAAAGAUGCUGAGACGAGGUAAGUUUGUGUGUGAUGCCUGUUUAGGUUGCUUCUGAGUGAAUUUUCGUCCUAAUCGGGGUUUAAGGUGUUGACUCUCUAAAAUUUUUAUCUCACUCCAUCGUAGGUUACCAUUUUCAGUGCCGUAGCGUGGAGAAUCCAGAGCCCGAGGUUGAAUGGUCUAGAGUGUAGAUGGCCUAGUGGUUUCUUUUUGAGUCAGACUUUAUGUAUAUGAACCUGUAGGGUUAACUCAGUUUGUUUAUAAAGUGUGUUUUGUGAGAAAGGUGUUGGCACGUGUUUUACUAUCCCAUGUAUUUGAUUAUUGUCCGAGGUUUGUUUAAUUCGCUUCCGCAUGUGCAUAAAAAUGAAAAAGGGUUUGCGACACGUCUUGGGAACGUCACAUAUUUAAUCGACUGCCGAGGGGUGUGCGCGUGCCCGGGAUCCGGGGCGUGACAAUACAUGUUAGAAUUCUUGACCAAAAAAUUUGUGGAAAAUGGAAAGUAGGAUGUGAUCAGUUCAGUUAACUCGAAGACAAAUUUCGACCCUGUAGUUUUUCAAUAUAUUUUUGUUGUAUGAAGUCCAAAAUUUUGAAAUUAAGUUAUGUUGUAGAGCAGCCAAUAAGAGAUGACUUUUGUGAAGAAGUCCCCAUGAAAUUCACUUCACAAAAGUUAGUACAAAAUUAGCAAAACUCGAGAUUGGGCUAAAACCAAACCUACCUUGACAACUCAUUUUCCAUUUUAACUUAACCAUUAGCAGCUUUAGCCCAGUAGUGUACACCGAUUUAGUAUAUAACUCUCUCAAGACGCAUAUGCUAACCCAAUGACUAACGUUCCAAGCUUUCUAACUAUAUAACCUUGUCCGUAACUUGCGACUAAAAGCUAACGUCUCCAAAAACACAAGAUUCAAUAGAAUUUUUAGGAAACUCUCAUCGUCACACGACAAAUGAUCAAUAUAAGAUGGAACAGAAGAUAUCUACUUGCCUCGGAUACUCAUGAACGGCAGUUGCGACUUGAUGGGACGAAGGCGAGUUUGACAGCAGUGACGAUUGAGCUAAGGUGUGCCCAACGGCCAACUUGGACGGCUGAGCGCUUCUGUCUUCUAUAGUCGAGGGUCAUGAGUCCAAGGCUUGCACCGAAUAGCAAGCUCGAGGAAGGGUGUGACAGUGAGCUAAGGGGACGUCGGGCAAUAGGUGAACUUGAAGAGAUAGCGGUGGACCGAGAUGGGGGAAACUGAGGUGUGAUGGUAACGAUGCUCAUUCUAUGUAUAGUAUGGGAAUGAAAAGGAGAAAAGUACUAGGGGUAUUGGAAGACAAGCAAUGGGGACAAGAGGAUGAGUGGCUUCGUCUCUCUCUCUCUCUCUCUCUCUCUCUCUCUCUCUCUCUCUCUCUCUCUCUCUCUCUCUCUCUCUCUCUCUCUCUCUCUCUCUCUCCUUGCAUUCGGUCUUCAUCGGUCCACUAUAGUAUCUGAGAUGUUGUUUGCUGCUAUUUUGCUAAGGAAGGCUUAACACGCGGUUGGUCAACUUGCUAACCCUAUGGAGUGGACAUGGUAGUCGACUAAGGGGGAAGGGAAAAGCAGAUGGUGAAGCUAGGAAAAAGAAUGUGAGAAAUGGCCAUUACGCUUUUAUCUUAUGCCUUUCUUCUUCAUUUGCUACUUGCUACCGAUGAUUCGUCACAAUUUGGGAAACGGUGGAGGAUUAAGUGACACGUUGGUUGUUCUGGUAAGUGCAUUCACACUAGCUGGGUAGGCGUUGUUUGUUGUUUACCAGCUAUAAGUGCAACAAGGUGAAGGGAAUGAUCGUUUGAGUUGGUCCUCGUGCGGUGGGAAUGGAUAUCGGAAUUGUUGGCAAUGAGGUAGCGGCCGCGUCUCGAUGAUGUGGAUGCAUCCUCGAAUGAGGUGGAAAUGGUGUCACUCGAUGAUGAUACUGUAAGGAUGCGAACAACAUUGUUCGACGAUAGGUUCGACAAUGUGGCAUGGGCUAUUAUAUAUUCAAGACUCACUAUUUUGUUGAGCUAAAAAUCCAGAUGUCACACCCUCAUUAGUUCAAUUGAAGUAGUUUCGAACUUAGGACUUAUCAAAAUGAUAGUGUAUGGUGUUAUCAAGUUGUAGCAUUUUGCAGAUCUCAAUUUUAGCUUACGGUUUGUGCAUAAUGGAAUUCUCAAGUUCAGCGCACGUUCUUGACAAAGUUCCGAACAGUAACUUUGAGCCAAAUUUCAGUCAUUUCCGACAAGGUCUUAGGAUGGCUAAGUUGGGGUUCUUAUUGUAUGUCAAAAUGGCUUUCUAAGAACUAUAAGUUGGCUUGAAAUGAAAUUCUAUGGAGGAAGUUGUGGCACAAUGAAAUUUAACAUGCGAGCUGCGCCUAGCAAACAAUAAUAGGUUUAUGCUAAAGGCGAGCUUUCCGUUGGUGCGUAGGUGUCAUUUUAUCAACAAAUAUGUGUCGUUCAUUAGAAUAUCGUUUCACUUGAUCUUUUGAUAUUAUUUUUCGGUUAUUUGUUAAGAAUUCAAGUGCAUUGACUUGAGUAACCACCUUAGUUGGUAUUUGGCUUUUUUUAAGGUGAGUGGUAUUAUUUCUUUUUUGCGUUAACUCAUGUUUUGAAAAGCAUUGUGGAUUUAGUACGCUAUGAGUUAAGAAUAGCAUUUUUUGUGGAAUAAAGUAGGAUCAAGCCUUUAUUGCUGUUUUGUUGUUUGAAAGGAAAUAUGAUCGUUUGACUUCAACUUAAAUGAUUGCUUAUAAAUGGUUUGUGAAAUUUUUUAUGAAAGAACCUUGAAAAGUUCAUGAUUUGUUAAUGUGGUUUUGAAAGGGGCUUUGAUACUUAAAUAUCGAUUGCUUGAAUUGUGAGAUAAUUUUGAUUAUGGUUGUGGAGUAUUGGAGAUUUGUGAUUGAUGGUUGAUACUUGGUGUCUUUAUGAACCCAAAGGGAUGUAUGGGUAUGCAUAUACUAGUCGAAAAUAACCUUGUAGACUGAGUCACCAACUAAUAAUAGGUAUAAAUCUAACUAAGGGGGGAAUCUUGGUUGCUUUUUCACAAGAGUUACAUGUGACCAUGGUUAGACACUUAAGCAUAAGAUUGGUCAAUGGAGUGGACCAUUGACAUGUGUUUUUAUGAGAUUGACCAAUGGACUGGACUAUUGAGGUUUGCUUUAUUAUUAAUUUUGGGUAUUUCUGCUAUGAGAAUAUAAUGUUAAAGUAAGAGAUAUCACACUUUGGUCUUGAAAGUUGCAUAGUAAUUGUUCAAUUCGCUUUGAAGAAAUGUAUUACUUACUGAGCCGUGAUAGCUCACUACUUUCAUCUACUUGCUUUUACAGGUUCUUCAGCGAGCUGCAAGUAGGACAUGAGCGUUGCGUUAUCAGGGAGGGCUUUUUGAUAGUAGAAACUUUUUUGUACGAGUUGUAUAUAAUUGAUAAGUUUGUGAGUUAGUUUUUGGUGGAUGUGUCUAUAUUUGUUUAGUGAUUUGUAGAAAUACUCUGAUAUUGUAACCAAAUGCUCUUUUUGUCAAAUAUGUUUGUGUGUGUGUACUCUAAUAUUGUAACCAAAUGCUCUUUUUGUCAAAUAUGUUUGUGUCUGUUUGUGUGUGUGUGUGUGUGUGUGUGUGUGUGUGUGUGGGUGCGUGUGCGCACGUGCGUGCAUGUGUCUGUGCCCGUGCGUGUGCGCAGGUGUGCGUGUGCGUGUGCAUGUGAGUGUGUGCGCGCGUGUGUGUGGACGUAUAUAUAUUGUUAUCAAGCUAAAUUUUGGCUAUGCUAAGGCGACAUCCUUCGGUGCAAGGACAACCAUGUCAUGCCCUUGUUCUUGUUGAGUUGGGGUGUGACAAGAAGAACAUAGGAUGAAUGAUUUCGACUUAGCGAGGAGGAUGAUGCGGGAGCAUCCAACUUAGCUCAAUUAGCCCACUUAGCACCAUCAUUGCUCAUUCAAGCCAAGAUAGAAUUUAGACAUAACAUACUUCAAUGGGUCGAGACUGAAAUUUUAAACUAAAAUGGUACCAAACAAUUUUUACUGAAAUUAUCAAUACUGAUGAUUAAUGAGUUACCAAAGUUAUCAAUAUGAUAUAUUCAUUGUUGAUUUCUCGGUAUGCUUUAGUGGUUGCUAAUCUCGAAGUUUAUCAAUGACAUAUCAAUGAGAGGUCAUUAUGAGCAACUUCCUUGGUUAUUUGAUGAUGUCUUGAGGUAUUUAUCUUCUAGUCAAGGUGGGAGCACGAAUUUUGCAAGACUGAAGAAUUAAGAAUGCAAGUUCCCAAGUCAUCCAAUGCAUCUCUAUUUUCUAGGAGUUUUCAUUGUUUUGUAAGUUUCAAGAGUCAAAGUUUUGAAUUUUUAGGUCUAUAAUGUUAGGCUAAUUCCCAUAUCUAUUUAUUUAUAUUUCUUAAGUUGAAUUCCUCCUAUAAAUAGAAGAAGUCUCUCAACUAUAAUCAGACAAGAUUUGAUGAAUGAAAAUACUUGAGAGUUCCUCUGCAUGAGUGAAUAUCUUUGGAGAGUGAAUAACUCUUAUUUCAAUCUCUUUAUCCUUGAAAAGUGGAUUACUCCUCAAUGGUGAACCAAGAAGCGUUUUAUCCUCGGCUAGUGGAUUUUCCUUUAGAAGCUAGUGGUGAGCUUCUUCUAUUUCGAAAUCCUUUAUCCUUGACAGGUGGUUCGUCCUAUAACCCUUGGUGGUGAACUUCAAUUAUCCUUAUUAUCAUCAUUGGUUGGUGGCACGUCCUUUAUACCUUGGUGACAAUAAUUUUUUAUCCAUAUAUUCGUAUUUCAUCCUUCGACAAUCAUCCCAUACACAUCUCUUUCCUUACACUUGACCACAAAAUCCCGACACCUAGAAUCAAUUGCCCACGCAUGCAUCAAGGAGACUGCAAGGAAAGUUUGUACUGUCAAUGUAAGCUACUAGAUGAAAUUAUAUCCAAAUUUAUAUCAACAUACCAUCCAAAGAUGUGGUCAUGGUAGGUGGAUGGCGGCAGCGGGCAAAGGAAGAAGAAGAGACGAAAAGGAAAAGAAAAAAAGAGAAAAAUUAAAAAAUAAAAAGAAAUUCUACGUCACAAAAAAACUUAUGACUCAUAAGUGUUUAUGUUCUUUUUCUAUUCCGAGAAUAAAAAUUUUAUAUAAUUAUCAAACGUGUUGUUUUGCUCAAAAACUGUUUCAAGGAGUAGAAAUAGAAAAGUUGUUCCUAUGAACAAAAAUGUUACCAAAGGCACCCUAGCUCUCCACAAGGUUAAAAUAUUGUGGUUUUGAAUGUAAUCUAGUAUUGGAAAGCACUUGAGCGUGAAGUGAAUUAUUUGCGACUCACUCUCUUUGUUGAGUAAGAUUCAGACCUAACUACAUAAAUAUCUUAUAUUCGUUAUUGUUCCUUAUCGAUUUAUCUAGUUAUUUCAUUCUCUCACAUUAAUUUAAAGGCAAGACCCAAUUAGCUUCCGCAUUAAUUUUAACACAAUUAUUAUCAAAGUUAAGACCGGGACUUUUUGGAUUUGAUUUGGAGCUUUUGCUUAUAUAAUCAUUGUCUAGUAAUUAUGUUGGUACAAUUAUGUGUGGAGCAAAAAUAGAAAUUGAGAAGUUUGAGGGAGGCACAACUUGGGCGAUGAAGUGAGGUGGGUGCACUAUAAAUAACCAAGGUUUGGUCUAGGCAUUGGAUGACAAAGCUAAGUUGCCGAAAAAUGUUGAUUAAGAUUUAAUGAAGGCAGUAAAGAGUAUCUAAGACUAACUUUUAAAGGCCAAGCAUCCCCAGUCAUGUUUUGCUAAAUUGAACAUGUUAGUUAGAACUUAAGGAGAAUCCCAAAUCAGAAUAAACUUUUUGCCACAGUAGCUUGUAUCCUUCGAUGCUAAGUCUUACUGUAAACAUAAAAAACUUCAUCACAACAUCAAUGGGGAAAAAAGGAGGAAAAAGAGAAGAAGAAAGAAAGCUUUUACUACAGUAGUUUGUAUCCUUCGAUGCUAAGUCUUACUGUAAACAUAAAAAACUUUGUCACAACAUCAAUGGGGAAAAAAGGAGGAAAAAGAGAAGAAGAAAGAAAGGAGAGAGUUCAGUCAAAAAGGAGGGAAACAUGUGGGACAAGGAAGAAGAAUUUGAGGGCAUAAGAAAACAAAGGAGAAAGAGUAGGAAAAAUAGAGGAGAGCUUAAAGAAGAGAAUAAAAUAAGGGAGAGGGAAUGAUUGUCAAAAGCAAGAGGAGAAAAGGGAAGAAGGAAAUAGAGAGUAAGCGGAGCAACUAAGAGAGAUAGAUAGGAGUAGUAUGAGUGCUCCCAAGAUUUGACAAACUAGAUUAAAUCCGUUUCGUAACAUACAGUAAGGAUUUGAACUUCAUUGAAAUUUCAUAGUUGGGCUAUAAAUUCAGAUCCAUUCAAAUUCUGAAUUAUUGGGUUCAUUCGAUAGAAGUUUACCAAAUGCUCCAAGUAUAAAGAUAAAUAAGUCUUUAUUUUAAGUUCUUCAUUAGAGGUUGUGCCCCAUUGCAUAAUCUGACAUGUGAAGAACAAAUUAAGAAGAGCAGAUCAAUAUGAUAAAGAGUCUAAUUAAUGGACCCGAAUGCUUUGAAGAAUUCGCACCGCCAAAGAAAAAAAAGUGGUCGGCGUUUGUCUGCCGAGGAUCUCCAAUGCCUAGGUCAAUGUAUUUUUGCAGAAGGAGAGGCUAAAUAUUGAGAAUGCAUACAUUGCCGAAGGACAUUUGUGUUUUGUAGAGGGAGAUCACGGGCUUACUAUUCUGGGCUUAUCCACAGGUUAGUGUGCUCUAUAAGCUUGUUUUUCUUGCCUGUAGGACCCAAUAUUUCUUGUAUUCGUCAAGCCUGGCCCAACCAAUGCGAUGAAUCAAAGCAGAAUUCUCCUCUUACUUUAGUACAGCUCCAAGAGAAGUAACAGGCUUAUGUGUGUUAUAAACAUAUUCAAAUUACCAUACAAUGCGUAACGAAGCAGUAUGACAAUAUUUAAGAAGAGUCAGGUUAUGAGUGGUAGGUCAAUAGUCAAGACAAGUGGUCCAUAUACAUGAUCUUGUAGAGCCUAAUGCAGCUAUAUCGAAAUAAAAAGGUUCAUUCCAUCUUAAGAUAACUACAGAGUGAUAUAAUGAAAUAGUUAUUAUUAUUAUUAUUUUUUUUUUGUGACUGAGGAACCGCCGAAGACCCCUUAUGGGGUCACACCGCCCUCCAAUGCCUGGUGGCACCGUCGGACGUUGUUGCAAGCCACUAUUUAGACGUAAAUCUCGGGGGAGAUUGGCCCAACAUUCCACCGCCGGGCCCUCCGCUUCAAUCGCUAGUAACGUAGGGAGCGAAUACCACUUGCGCUGCCCAUGGGUGGGUAUGAAAUAGUUAUUGAUUAGAAGUAAAUAAAUAAAAUAAAAUAAAAUAAACUUUUCAUCCUGCACUUUAACGCUUUUUCUAAUCAAUUCCUGGUACUUUUAAUUUUCUAACAAAAUCCUUCUACUUGCACUGUUAGUCAAAUGAAUAUCUUCCAACACCAUCUUUGGUUAGACCUAGCCGAUAUGAUUGUCCAACAACAAUAGGACAUUUUAUGAACAUGGAUGCUACCAUGAGAACACAAAAAAGAAUUUGUCAACAUUGACAAAAUAGUGCCAACAUCACUCUUUGAUGUCGUUGAUGGUGAUAUCGGGAGAUUUGAUUAGAUAAUCUGUGCAAGUGAAAAAAAAUUAAUUAGAAAAAUUACAAAUCAAUUAAAAAAUUUCAUGACAGUAUAGGAGCGGAAAGCAAAAAUUUUCCAGAAUUAAAAUAUCCAACGGAAAAGCAUCGUAGGAGGGAAAAUUCUCGCAUAGAUUGAGUUCAAGGUCUGACCACAUAUAAUCACAUGGAGUUCAUACAAUAAGAAAAAAGAAUGGAAAAGCCAUUCUUUUAUGUUUUUCUUUUUUUUCUUUUUCGCUUUUUCAGCUCACAGUUGUUGUCUGUCCAUGGCCGAGCCACGCCCUCCGUCGUCAAGGCGGCUCGCGGUCGUUUCCCAUCCAAAGCUGAAUCUAAAGUUGUGCCUCCAGAUCUGGCCUCAAGUACGGUCGCAAGCCUUGGCUUGUCCAUGGCUUGUGAGGUAGCUCAUCCACAUAUCUAGCGGCCACGGCUCAUCCGUCGCUGUGAGCCUUGACAUUGAGCUCAAUAUCCCAAUGGCCAUCGACCGCGAGCUCAAAAGCAGAUAAAGAAUGGAUGAACGAAGUCGAAGGCUUCCGUGCAGCACGAGUGAGUGACGCCAACGACGCUUGAACGUGCUCGGCCAUGGACGAACUAUGCUAACGACAGCCAAGGACGAACUAUAUGCCAACAGCAGCAUUGAACGCAUUCGGCCAUUGACAACCAAAUCUACAGAGCGACACCAGCAGAGGCUAGACGCAGCGCCGCCAAAGUGAAGGAGCAACUAAAAUUAGUUGAACACACUCUUGAUAAUUGAGAUGACAUAGUCAGAAGCCCGUGCCCUUUUGCUUCUGCCACUAAAAUCUAUUCCUAGAAGAAAGUAGAAUUGCUUGCGGACGUCAUCUAAUUAGUCUCUUCUACCAUUAGCUUUGCCCACUUCACAGUGAUUGGCACAGGAAAGACUAAUAUUUUCUCGUCUCAGAUCUAGUCAUCCGUGCCAGUGUAAUGCUAGGACCAAGGAUUGCGUGUAUUAGUGAUCUUGACAGAUUUUGGAGGAGGCCGGGUUAGAUUGACUUAAUGAUCACUGUUUGGGACAUUGCAAAAUUGCCAACUUCCGCUUGUUUUCUCUGCAUUUCUCCUCUUGGUCUUUUGCACUCUUCAGUUAUUUGAGAAUUUUGUAGAAUCAUUCAUUUACCCACACAAAACAAAUAGCUUGCUCUCCAUGACCACUUAAUAGAUAACAGUGACAGAAAUUGGCUGUAAAGCACUCAACUACCAAAUUUAGUUGGAUAUUUGGAAUGUUUUCAUCGUCAUGCAAAAAAUGACUCCUGAUGGCAUAAAUAAAAAAAGAUGACAUCUGACACAAAGAUUCAGGCAAACUCAUUCCCAAAUGAGGCUACUUCUUUCAAUUUCUAUCAAUCAGCAAUCACAACUACUAAUAGCUAACGAGUCACCUGCCAGCGCCACCGAUACCAAUACAUUGAGUAACGCUGCGCUGGUUCUUUAUUUGCAUAGUGCCACACUUUGAGAAAAAGUAUCAUAUGCAUUGGAAAUUAUUAUCCAAGUUGUCGAAAAUCUGGACGAUGCUUCCAUGUGGCAAGUAAUCUGAUAUUCACAAACCGAAUGACUUCCCUCAAUGAAUGGACAGUUAGCAAAUCCUCAAAGCAGAGUAGAUCCACACGCAAACGCAUUCCUUGCACUUGAGUUUAUCAAGGAGAGUGUUCUCUUGGAGCCAUUAAUUUAGCUUUCAUUCCCUUAACCAUAAAGCAUAGAGAUCCAUUCAGUUCUUCCUGACUCCAUGUCUGCAUCAUCCUGCAAGACAAUGUACUUCUCGUUUCUGCCCCAGAAGACUUCUCCCUUGAAAAAACCACAAGGGCUUGCAGACACACUGUAAUAUGCCUACGGAACAAUCAAUUUUGUCCUUUUUCAUUUUUUAUUUUUCGGAAUUUUUUCCAUCUCAUCAUCCUAGAUCAGGAAAAGAUGAGUUGGUCUUCUACCUACAUUGGAGGACAAUAAAAUGCAACUAUGAUCCAUUCACCAUGCCCUAAUGUCCAAACAUUACAGUUUUUUGCGUCACAAGCAUUCAUGAACUGUAGGGAAAAGCAAACAUUACAGUUUUUUGCGUCACAAGCAUUCAUGAACUGUAGGAAAAGCCAAUCACGACCGCAACUCUACAAGUACAAGGACAAUGACAUAUCCAUCCUUUUAUCCAAAGGACACAACCUCAACAUUACUAUCAUCAACCUAUUGUCAAUAUAUAUACAUCUAUAUAUAUUUGAUAAAAGGAUAUGCAUAUCUCCAAACAACAACCAGACUCAAAGGUUCAAUUCAACCAUGAACAACUUAUACCUAAAAAAUACAAUUAUUAAAACAUCCUCCUGAAGACGAAAAUGCUUUAUUCCUAUUUGCAGCUCAUUGAAAAACCCGAAUAGCAAGAUGAAUGGAAUGAGCAACUACAACCCAAUAAGUAGUACAUCUUUUUUAAGUAGAUUGAACGUUCACUAUGCAUCUUUAUAAUACAAUAUCGUAACUCAUCAAUCCCCAAUUCAGUAUAUGAUAUAUAUAAAAUAUCCAAGACUGAUGAUAUCUUUUUAAUAAUACUUAGUAUAAGAUCAAUUAACAAUAUCAACUUAUAAUAACAAAUCAAUCAUCAAUGGUUUAUUCUAUCGAUCAAUCUCAAUUAAAUAAAACAUCAAUAGUCUAUUCAAGAAACUAAUCUAAUGCUCUAUACAUAACUAUGGCCAUGCUUAAUGCUCAUGACAAACACGACCAAGUUUUCGGCCCUUGACUAGGUCUCCUUUUAUAUUGAUGGGUGGUUUGGCUUAGAAGGAUGUCCUAAUAACAGUAUGCAUACUUACCCCUUCAAUAGAUUCUAAUCAUAGCAACAUGGGCAUAAUCCAUUAACAACAUUCUCCAAUAACCCCCAAUUAAAUCAUAAAUUCAUCUCACAAAUUAGUUCCACAAACCUAAUCAUAUGGCCUUUUCUCAAUUCCUUUUAUCAAAUACGCUGCAUCUCAUAACAUUUCACAAUCAAUACAUAUAAUUUUCGGCAAUUCUUUUUUACAAAAUAUUUAAUCAAGACUUUUACAAUUGAUUAUUUGAAACUAUUUUAAAUACUGCCUUCCAAUGCCUUGUCAACAGACUAAAAAAGUAGUAAAUGCUCAAUCUAGGUUAUACAUAAAUUAUGCUUUUCAUGACUCAUGCUCUAUUAAAUCUCUACUACUUUCAAGAUAUGAGUUUGUAAAUUAUAGAAGAGAUAGUAUUACUCACUUGGAAAAGCUGAAAGCCCCUUACUCAUAAGGUAAGAUUCCCUUCUCUUCAUCCAAGAUCCAUUUAUCCCUUGUUGUCAUGAUAAUCUUACUCCCAGAAUAAAAAGUGUCAAGGCCCCCAACUAGUUUGUUUUUCUUUUUUUUUCUUUUUUUUUUUUUUUUUGGUCAAUUACUAGUUUGUUAAGUUGUUCUUCAUUCUCUAGAUUGUCUAGAACAAUGAGAACUUUCUUAGAAUGAGCUCUCCUUCUUGUGCUCCCUUCAUUAGUUUUUGCGAUAAACCAUCUCUCUAGAUUUACUAGGCCAUUUCCCUUUGAUGAUUCUUGAAUGUCCCCAAUGAAGCUACAUUGUCCAUCAAAGUGAGGACACAAUUCAUUGUAAACAAUCUUAGCGAGAGUAGUUUUACCCAUCCCUCCCAUUUCAUGGAUUCCAACGAAAUGCACACCAGUGCCAGAGUCAACAUCUAACGACUUCAUUAUGGCUUCUACCUAUUCAUCUAACCCAACCAAUUUGCCUUCCAAAGGUCUUUGUUUUACUUUUAGCUUACGUAGAACCUCUUUCACGAUGAGAUCAAUGAUUUCACCGUGUCUGCCACAAUCAAACAUUUUUAGUGCAAGCAAAUAAAUGGCAAUCUCACUACUACUUCCUUGCAGAUAGCAUUUGAGUUUAACCACUAUUUCAAGUGUUUGGUAAAUUCUAAAAGCCAGAAGAAUUUUGGUUGGAUAGACUCCACAAGAUAUGAUAGGUGUUAUGACGAUAAACUUACGAUUUCACCCAUUUCUGAAAAGGGAAAAAGCCACCAAAAACUCCAAAUUUUGUCCAAAGUGAUAAAUUUACUCCAAAUUUUUUUUGUGACGUAAAAAACCUCAAAUUUUGCUAAUCAUGACACAUUUACCCCAAACUCUAUGGCCAAGGACAUUUUUGUCUUAUUUUUUUCCCUUUUUUUUUCCUUUUCUUUUUUUUUUUUUCCUUUUUUCUUCUUCUCUCUUCCCUCCACCGGCCAUGGUGGAGGGAAGUCGGACUCAUGCAAGGAUGGCACUCACCUAGGUGUUGGGCAAGGGUUGCCCUCGCCAGAUCUAGCACCCCUCCCUUGACCCAAGCGAGCGCCACCCUUGCCAGCCCAAGCGAGGGCGACCCUUGCUCGAUGUCGGCAAGGGCAAUCCUUGCCUAAGUCUGGCUUCCCUCCCCUGGCCAACGGAGGGAAGAGAGAAGAAGAAGAAAAAAAAGGAAAAAAAAAAGUAAAAAGUAAAAGACGAAAAUGUCUUAUAGUUUAGGGUUAAUCUGUUACAUGGAUACAAGUUUUACGAUUUUUUGUAUCACCAAAAAAAAAAGUUUGAGAUAAAUGUGUCACGAUUAGCAAAGUUUGAGGUUUUUUAUGUCACAAAAAAAAGUUUAUGAUAAAUUUGUCAUUUUGGGUAAAAUUUGGGGUUUUUUGUGGCUUUUUCCCUUCUGAAAAAGAAGAUUUUUCUUUGCGAUCCGAAUUACAGACAUCAUUCUAGAAUUAGAUCAAAUUCACUCAUAUAACUAUUGCCAGCUAAAUUGCCCUACUUAUGUAUAACAGAGUUGAUGAAUUGGCUCUCUUUUUGGUGAAAAAUGAAAUUUAUUACUCAUACUCCAAAUUACAAGAGUGAUAAGAGAAUAGCAUUUCGACUGAAGCUUGAAAAAAUUUCAAUUAAUAAGCAUUUACUUACCCUCUCCCUUGGACUUUCCAACCCUUGAUCUUACCCACUUUACUCACAGCCGCCUCCCACCGUUCCCUGCUCUCACCGCCAGGCCUCUGCUCGUGCUUAUCCAAAUCCUCCACAUACAGUUUCAUCUUGAGCUUGACAUUGGAGGGUGUGACAUCAAAGAAGAUGGGUAGGAUCUCCGGCUUCCCAGUCGAUUCGUUGAGCUCUAUCACACGAGUGAGCUUGCGGAGGCACCAAGCGCUCAAAGCGUAGCCUCUGGAGAGGACUAGUAUGCAGAUCUUGGAGUCGCAGACCACUCUCAGGAGAUUGUCGAUCCAAUCGCCAGUGUGAAGCUCUUCGCUGUCACUGUAGGCGACAAUCCCCUAGCUGACCAUGGUCCGAUAGAGGCAGUUAGUGAAGGUGUUGCGAGUGUCAAGGCUCUUCUGAACCUGAGUUAGAACUUAAGGCCAACCCCAAAUCAGAAUCAACUUUUUGCCUCAGCAAGCUUGUGCCCUUCGAUGCUGAGUCUUACUGCAAAUAUAAGAGACUUUGUCACAACGUGAACACGAGGUGUGGUAAUUGAAGAAAAAAAAGAAAGGGGAGAGUUUAGUCAAAAGGAGGGGAACAUGGGGGACAAGGAAGAAAAAAUUGAGGGCAUAAGAAAACAAAGGAGAGAGAAGGAAAAAGAGAGAGGGACCGUAAAGAGGAGAGUAAAAUGAUGGAGCGCCGUUUGAGCAGAGACCUCAUCACCGCCCCUCGUAGUUGAGUAAACUCCGACACUUCUCUCGCAAUUUGGCAAGAUUCCAAAUUCGAUCGCCAUUGGAAAUUCAUUCACCUCUCCAUCGCCUGAAUCAGUCAACUUUUGUUUAUAUAAUUGAGCACGAACAAUUGAAAACAUCCGAAAAUGUGGUUUGUGGAGGAAAUGUCAAAUUACUUUUUGACAUGAGGCGUAAUGUCUUUGGACUUUGAUUUAGCAUGCCCUUCUUUUCGAUUAUAAUUUGAUUUUCUGUUGGAUAUAUGAAUCCAAGAUUUGGUCAUCAAGAUAUCCAAGGGCGGUGAUUUUACAUGUACAUCCAAGGUUUGACAAAGAUCAAGAUUUGGGACUCCUCUGAUUGCCAUAAAGUGAGGGACUCUUUUGCCGCACGUGAAAGAGGGCUAAAGGGCUGCACAGUAUAGUUCCUUUCUUUGGCCGCACAAAAGGAGCAAGAAACACAGUGACUUGUGCAGAAAAUUCAACAUCUAAUUGAGGCAUUUUUCUUUUUGUGGAUACAUGAGUUCUUCAAUUCGUGAGGUAAUUAUUAAUGAUUUAUAUAUCGAACUAUCACGGCGAGACUAAAUACUAUAUGAUUAGGUAUAAUCUAGGGUUAGGAAACUCGAGUGUGCGGGGAAUUGUAACUCUAUAAUUUUCCAAUUGAAUAAUAGAUUAUUUGUGGCUGACUCUUCUCAUGAAAUAAGUAUGGGUCAUUGAACUGAAAUACAUAAGUCCUUUUGUAUUCUUUGUUGUUACUCAUUGAUUUCUCCUGUGAUUUCUUUCUCUUGUGCUGAUUUAAUUGCAAAAAUAUGUUAACUAGCACAUUAUUUUACAAAUGAUAUUUUGGAAUGGUUUUUAGGCUUUUGCUUGUUUGACCGUUCUCUGGAAAUAUUGCUAUUGCAAUUACAUUGGAGCAAAAAUAGAAUUGAAAAGUUUAAUGGGACAAACGACUUUACGUUGUGGAGUGUUAUGCUAUCAACAACCAAGUAAUGUCUAAGGUGUUGAAUGGCAAGACUAAGUAGCUGGAAAUGAUGAAAGAUGCCGACAGAGGAUGAGUUAAUGGAGGGGGCAAAGGGUAUAAUUAUGUUGAAUCUUUCAGAUGAGAUGUUAAUAGAGGUGACUGAAUAAAAAGAUGCCAUAGCAAUGUAGCCCACAUAGAUGAGUUCAAUAAUCUCAUAAUGGAUCUUGAAGAAUUUUGAUGAGACCCUAUCCAAUGAAAAACAAGACAUGAUAAUGUUGGUGUCUCUACCAAAGUCAUUAUUAAUUAUUACUGGGGUGUAUAACAAUUGUGGAAAAUUAAUAGAUUGAAAUUAUAUUCAAACUAAUAGCAGUAAACCAACCCAAUAUGUGGUUCAAUUCCUGAUUCGUUUUUGUAUUUUGGUAAGCUAGCACAUAUCGGUGACAGGAUGACCGUACGACAGUGACUUCUAGAGCCGAGCUCAGUGCUGGGUUCGAGAGACCCUACAGUUAGUGGCGUGGUCUACUAAUAAUAUUUGUUGGUCUCCGUCAUUGACUCUUCCGCAAUUGUUUCCAUUACAUCUUCCUAGUACAAGAAAAAGUGAAAUAUUCUUCUCCAAGUAUUGUAGCAUAAGAAAAUUUAAAUAUCAUCCAAUCCAUCCGCUUUCAUGUCCGAACAUUACAAUGCUUCAUAUCGUAUUCGAGGUACAAUACAUUUGUUAUUUAAGGAUUAUGUAGAAAAAUCAAUGAAUUGCUCAUAAUAAUUGUUUGAUAAAUAGUGGAAAUAGGAGCACUAAAUAGUGUAAUAUGACUUAAUAAUAAAAUACUACUCAUAUGCCAAUUCGUUGCAUUUUUAUAGAUUAGUAGGACACUCCUACACCCCAAUCAACUGCACCAACCUUUAAGAUUGGACCUACAACUUUUAUUAACAUAAUUAGCAAGAGGCCCGAUAUUUAUGUUACCACUAGGUCAUCUUCAAUUAUUUGUCAAACUAGAUAUUUUUUAAACAUAAUUUUAUCAAUUGGAUCGAAGAGAACAUUUUUUUUAUUAGAGAGAUGUACAUAUAUACAUACAUAUAUAUAUAUAUAUAUAUAUAUAUAUAUAUAUAUUCAUUUCAUAUUCCAAUUCCAAUCCACUUGGUAGCACAAUUCACAUGGUAAGUGUUGGCUAGUUUUAGUCACUAAAGUGGCGGAGUAAAAAAAACAAAAAAGCCAAGUUAAUGUCAUCAUAAUGCACUCUGGCUGCUUUGGUAACACAUUUGCAAAGCUCUCUACAAAACCAUAUGUUUACCAAAUAAUUUCUUUUAAAAUUACUUACCAAGAUAUUUUUCUAUUUAUUUUACCAAAAGGUCAUUACUUUGCGUGUUUUUUAAAUUAAAAUCUUUCCAUUUCUCCAAAAGAAAAGUCAAAUCAAACGCAGCUUAUCAUUACCAUAGGUCUGCAGCCAGAAAAGCUACUCCUAUCGUCCAGAAUCGGCCAUGGACAGUGCGCCAGUGGGCCAGUGGCCCAGUGGUAGAAAAUCUGCCCGGUGCAACUCAAAAUAUGACACUGUAGUCCAUGAUAGAAAUUCAGGCAAACCGCUCAAUUUGUUAUUUAAUUUUCUUUAAGUUUUCACCUCCGUAGCCCCCACAUCAGUGCUAAAUGUCCUUCAAUUGCACAAUAAAAAAAGUCAAAACAAUAAAUAAGGUCACGCUAUAUAUUUUCAUUGUCUAAAAUCAAUGGGCUUAUCAAAUAUACUACUAGUACUUGAUUGCACAUUUUGACAAGCUCUAGAACUCAAUGGCAUGAUACAACAAUUUUGGCGAACCUCAUUUGUGGAUAUUGUCAUAUAAAAUCAGCAGACUUAUCGAAUAUACUUGAAAUUCUGAUUUAUGAAAUUGUUGAGUAGAAUUCUCUUAUGUCUUUGCUCCCACAGCUUAUACCAAAGAAUCUAUGGGAAAAAUGGGUUCGGCUCCUAAUGACUAAUUUAAACGUUCGACAGUCCAUUCUUUAUUUCAAACAUUCUGCAAUAAUUUAAAAUCGUGAGAAUUGACAACAAAUAUCAUCAAAUUAUUAUAAGGAAAAAACUCAACUCCUUUUAUAUCUACAAAAUUACGAAUUUCUCAGCGUUUCCAAAACAUGAGACUCACUGGAAUUGUGUGCGUGACUGACUUUUCAGGCGGUACAUGCUUUUCUUUGUUUUCCAAGUGAGGCAUGAGGAUCUUGUAUGUGGCAUUUCAAUCACCUGUGGUUGCAAAGCCUCUGUAUGAGGUUGUUUAAUUUGUAGCGUCUCAUCGCACUGCUGACAUUUAUAUUUGAACAUCUUCACAAUUAAGAAGAAAAAAUUAAAAUUGAAAUGGAGGGAGAUGACCUCCAUUUUCCGACUGCUCCUAAAAAACUCGUCGGAGGUAUUUGACGAAUAUAGAUUCAUUUUUACUAUGUUUUAGAUAGCUUGCUCAAGAAGAAAGGAUAUACUACCCCGUCGAACCCUUGAAAUUUACAGGCUGCUUUAGACUUCGUUACGAGAGAAGCGAGAGAAGCGCCCUCAUCUAACUGGCCAAGCGGAUCAGCGCGCGUACAGGAGGUGACCCAGGGAAGCGCUCUCAUCUAACUGACAACCCAUUCUCUUGUUAAGGAGAUCUUUGUUACUACAGAGCUCUCACUGGUUUAUUUGAUUUUGCAGACCUCCAUCAUCAUUGACUUCAGGCAACUUAUAGCCCUUGCCUUCGCCACCGUUCGCUUCCUUCAACUCCAUGCUGCGACCUCUCUGUUCGCCCCUGUUCCCACGGCGGGGGAGUCCCAAAAUAUCAGAUCUCACUCCAGAUUUCUUCCCCGGCACCGGGCCAUCAGUGAAGACGCUUCCAGGACUUCACUUAUUCGUUUGAUCAUUGUUUGUGACCAUCUACUGCAUCUCCAAGGUAAUUGCAUAGUGGCAAUCCAUAAGAAAACACCGAUAUACUGCUCUGUCCUGGUAGGUUGAGUCCGAGUAAUUUGAUCGAAGUCUGAGAGGAAAACGAUACCGAUUGAGGAUCUAACGGUAGUCUAAACACACUUUGAUGCCAGUCGCCACAGGGAAUCGCCUUUUGCUAUUCUUUUGUUUGAAGCCGAUCGGCCAUAGCUGCCGGUAUUCACCUUUUGCAAGAUCGAAAUGAGUAUCUUCUGUUUUGGGUGUGUGAGAAUGAAAACAGAGGCUGAGAAUCUAGUCCUUGCUAACUUGAAAAUAGUACGUGUGAGGGGUUACAUCCGUGAUUGCGAUUCAUCCACGAUAGUUUCGUGUUGAACCGGUUUUGACCUCCACUAAUUCGUCAUCGUUUUGUUAGUCACCUUAGAGUUAAAUUUCCAAGAAUCUUGAUUUUUAAUAUGCCUCACAUGUUUGCGUAUGCGUUUGUCUUAAGAUAUUAGAUCACGGAUUGUCUUUGCUGAAGGCUUCUUCUCUGCGGGUCAUUUGAGCGAAUGCAUUUUCAGCAUAUGCGAAUACAUGCGUCCUCUAUCUACAUGUCUUCUGGGUUUACAUGUCAGUGCUACACAACACUUACUUCCAUAUACAUGGGUUCUACGAUGCGAAUAUAUGAGCUCCGGCAGUGCAGAUACACGAGUGAACGGAUGAAGAAUGACAAGCGAGUUGAGCAAGAAUGAAAGGAGUGUAACGGAGGUUUGAAGAGACGGGAGCCUCCUGAACUUGAGAGUGAUGUUAUAUUUUUCUUGGUUUUUAGGGUAACUUGAUCUCCUAGAUAGUUCUUGAGUUUUUUUUUUUUUUUAAAAAAGGGAAAAAGACAGAAAUUAUAAAAACAAAAAAUGGAGUAAUAGUUAAAAUUUAAAAGGUCGUUAGCAAAUCUCUUAGAUCUACCUCGAGGGAAUAGUUCAUAUUUAGCAUUUAAUAUCAUCAUUGAAGACCUCUAGUAGGGAAUUUCUAUUAGUCAAAAUUAAACUUCGGUUCCAAUUUUAGGGACUUAGCUCACCGGACUUUAGAAAUCUUGGGCUUUCAACUUUCCUAAUGAUGACAUCUUCCCAAAGUAAUCGGAAUUUUUUUUUAAUAUCAAGUACUCAAUUUUUUCAUUAGGGUUUUUAAAUCUCCUGAGGCCAUUUUCUUCAUCGGGCCCCUCUUCAUAGGCUUCACUCCCAACUAUGACUCCUUCCUAUUGAGCUGCUUCACCAAUGUUGGCUUCGACUAUACCUUUUAAGUACAUCGCCGGUGUCUUCCUUGCCUUCUUUCGUGGGUUUUAGGAACCCGUGAGAGAAGGCAAGGAAGACCUCGACGAUGCAGAUGGCAAUCACAAGGGCAUAGCUGACGCUGACAUUGGUGAAGUGGCCUAAUAAGAAGGAGGCAUAGCUGGUGGCGAAUCCCAUUAGGAAGGGCAUGGUGAAGAAUAUGGCCCCUGCCAACAUGAUCAUGUGGUGGAUGUCAAUCCAAUUAGAGGUCCGGCUCGCCAUCAUUGACCCAGAGAAUGAGAUCACAUUGAGCAUCCCCAUUAGGGCAUAACUUGCAUGUCAAUUAUCUUCGGGUCCUCCUUUAUGUAUACCACUGCCUUGCUCAUUGAUCCUAUUUCUUCCCAAUUUUUUUUUAAAAAAAAAAUCUUAUUUAGCAUCACAAUGUUCCCACGUAAACCGUAACUAUACAUACAAGAAGUUGAAAAAAUAAAAAUAAAAAAUAUUUCGUGCCCUAUUUUCCUCCCUUUUUCUUGAAUUUAUUUUCCUUAUUUCGUAGUUGAUCUAUAAAUUCAUAUCCAUUCGAAUUCUAAGUUGUUGAAUUCAUUCAAUAGAGGUUUACCUGAUGCUGUAAGUAUCAAGUUAAAUAAGUCUUUGUUUCAAGUUCUUUAUUAGAUAUUGUGCCCUGUCGCAUAAUUUGAUAUGUGAAGAACAUAUUAAGAAGAGUAGAUCAAGAUGAUGGAAUCUAAUUAGUAGGAGUAAGCUUUGUUGAUGCACGAAUCGAGCAGAUCCUCAAGGAGACGGUAAUGGACCCGAAUGCUUUGAAGGAUUUGCACCGCCAAAAAUAAAAAAGCGGUCGGAUGUUUGUCCGCCGUGGAUCUCCAAUGCCCAGAUCAAUGUCUUUUUUUGGAAGGAGAUGCUAAAUAUUGAGAAGGCAUACAUUGCCAAAGGACAUUUGUAUUUUGUAGAGGGAGAUCAUGGGCUUACUAAAUUGGGCUUAUUCGCAAGUUAGUGUGAACUAUAAGCUUUUUCUUACUUAUAGGGCCCAUUUUUUUUUCUUUUUUUUUCGGCAAGCUUGGUCUGACCAAUGCGAUGCACCAAGCAGAAUUCUCUUCUUACUUUAGUACAGUUCCAAGAGAAGUGGCAGCUUAUUCAAGCUACCACGCAACGCAUAAAGAAGCAACAUGGCAACAUUCAAGAAAAGUGACAAGGUUACGAGUGGCAGGUCAAUAUUCAGGACGAGUGGUCCAUACACAUGAUCUUGUAGAGCUAAAUGCAACUCUACCAAAAUAAAAAAAGUUUGCUCCAUCUUAAAAUAACAAUAGAGCGAUCCAAUGAAAUAGUCAUCAAUUAGAAGAAAAAAAAUGCUUUUCUCCCAUGCUUUUAUGCUUUUUCUAAUCAAAUCCUGAUAUUUUUAAUUUUCUAACAAAAUCCUUAUGCUUUUCCUGUCCUGGCUGCGAAGACUUCUCACCUGGAAAUACCCCAAGGGCUUGCAGAUACAAUGUAAUUUGCCUAAGGAACAAUCAAUGCCGUCUUUUUUCAUUUUUUUAUUUCCGGAUUUUUCUCCAUCUCAUCAUCCUAGAACAGGAAAAUAUGAGUUAGUCUUCUAACGGGUAAGUUAAAUUCAUUUCUUCAUCAAGCUAAGCUGGGGAUUAACUUUUUGCUGUAGUAACUUGUGCCCUCCGGUGCUAUAUCUCCACUGGUACCUUAGCGACUUGCUUGAUUGUUAAAUCAUGUCUCAAAUUUGAGAUGUAUAUGAAACCUAAAAGAAUUUUGAUUUGUUUAAUUUCGGUGUGCGCUUUAAUCUGAGUCAAAUUUGGAUAUUUGGGGCUUUGGAAAUUUCGAUUUUGUUUUCUGUUCGAGGAAGAGUAUUUAUGUUUGGCCGAUUCGACUUCUUGGCUCUUUGUUUAUAUCGCAUGUGGAGGAGGGACUUCUUUUGGCCGUACAAAAGAAGAGGAAGUGGCUCUCAUAUUUAAUAUAAAAUUGUAGGGUCAGUAGAUUUGUUAGGAAGAAAAAUGAAAAGACGUGGGUUCUAAUUUUCUCAUCCCCUUCAGCCGCGCAAAAAGAAGCAAAAAGGUGGAGUCAUCCUUCUAACCACGCGGAGAGGAAGAGGAACACACGGUGAUCGUUUUUAGCGCAAAGAGUUUACAUCCUCGUUCUCUUUCCGGAGAUACGGAUGUUUCAAACCGUAAUUCUCUAUAAGGCUAAACACUGUGAUUUAGGUGGAAUCUAAAGUUCAGAAGGGAUUGAGUAUGUGAGCUACUAUACCAUAUAAUCCUUCGAUUGAUCAGUGGAUAAUUUAUAACUGAUCUUCCCAUAAAGUAGAUACCCACAUUGGGAUUUCAUGCGUCCCUCAUUGUUCCUCGUUGAUUUAUCUAGUUAUUUCGUUCUUACACGUUGAUUUAAUAACAAAAUCCGAUUAGCUUCCAUAUUAAUCUUAUAAUAAUUGGUAUUAGAACUAAAUUUAGAAUCUUUUUGAAUUUGAUUUGGGAUUUUUGCUUAUAUGAUUUAUGUUAAAAAUUUUUGUCAUUGCAACUAUGUCUCGAGCAAAAUAGAAAUUCAAAAAUUUAACGGGAGAAACAACGUGGGCGGAGAAGCGAGAUGAGACAUUGGAUGACAAGGCUUAGUUGCCGGAAAUGAUAAAAGAUGCCAAUAAAGAUGAGCUAAUGAAGAGGGCAACAAGUAUAAUCAUGUCGAAACCAUCGAAUGAGAUUUUAAUAGAAAAGGUGAAGAAGAGAGAUGUCGCAGCAUUAUGAGGAAAAUUUCAGGCUCUUCGUAUGAGAAAGGGCUUAAAUAAUCGUCAUAUAUGUUGAAGAUGAUGUUUUAGUUUCAACAUUCUGAACAUACUUCCACAAAGACCACUUAGAUGAGUUUAUUAAGCUUGUAAUGGACUUGGACAAUGCAACUGAGAUCCUAAUUGAUAAAAAUUAGGGCAUGGCCUCUCUAUCAGAGACAUAAGAUCAUUGUAUUGAUUCACUGUUACAGGAUUGUUUCUCUAAUGAAUAACAGAGGAACUUGCGAGAUGACGGUCCAACACAAAACGUAGCAUGAGGUCAAUCAGUUGCCCUUGGUAGUUUCAAGCCUUCAUCAAUCAUCAUCUGGAUGGUCUAAAAGGUAAAUAAACUUUUGGAAAUGUGUCAAGCGCACCCUUAGCAUGCAAAACUUGCCGAGGAAAUUAAGCCCAUUGUUAUUCCCCACCUCUGGAUCAGAUUGUUUCAAUCUGGGACCAUUUGAUCACGAUAUUAAUCGACGUUCACGAUGUCACCCUUUCUUGCUGUCCAUCCUACCUCUAGUCCGUUUCGGCAUAAUUCAACAAUUUGAUCCCAAUCCUUGCUUUUGUCAAAUGGUCCAAUCUCCACCGUUCAGGAGGAAGUUCACCAUUCAGCUCUCUACAAUCAUCAGCAUAAAUCUCUUCUAAACCAAUUGAAUUAUUGUUUAGUUAAUCGAGAUAUUUCAUUUUUGUGGUGAUAAUUAGCAGGUCAUCACGAUAAUUUUUGUGGCAAUAAUCAGUGUUUAGUGAAUUAAUGAAACCUUAAUACAUUGAAUUCCAGCUUUUCAAACUUGAGAGACCUACUGAGAUUUUAAAAAAAAAAAAACUUUAGACCUACCAUCCUCAAAGUUGAUUAAUCAAAGAUCUCAAUCAAAUUGUCCGCUCUAUAAUUUAUCCAAACCUAACAAUAUUAUUAGCACACUACUCAAGCAACAACCUUCGCUCCAACUAGAACGUGAACACUAACUGCCCAAAUAUCCAAAACAGUCACAAGACUAGUUAUUAAAGGCCUAGCAUACCGAUACACUUCAGGCAAAUGCCAAAUCAGAAUAACCUUUCUCUACAGCAGCUUAUGCACCCUUCGAUGCUAUAUCUUGCUGCAAGCACAAGGGGAUUCCUCCCAACGUCAACAGGAGGAGCAAUAUGCAGCAAGUCAUUCCUAGCUCUCCAUAUAUUGCAUAUGGAAACCAUUCUACAGUAGCUUCAGCGUAAUCAACUCAAAAGCUAGUCCCUGGGCGGCCUGCUUUAUCCAGUGAAGUCCAAAAAUCCAUUUCCCGGGAACUCAAUCGGUACCACAUAGGACUAGAGGUCUCCUCCACAUCUGCGAAGGGAGAAGAGUUUUGUCAAGAGGCUUGCUGUCACCACUUUCUUAUUUCACUGUCUUUUUUCUUUUCAAGUUCAUGUGUACUGUGAGCUAGCUUAGAUUAAUGAUCAACAGCCCCAGACACAGUCUAUUUCCAGCUCGAUUGUUUCGUUCAUUUUAUUUUUUCUUUUUUUCGUAUUUUGGCAUUCUCAAGUUAUUUGUGCAACUUUUAUAGAACCAUCAAUCUACCAAAAAUGGAUAAAGAAACAGUGCCUUGCUGUAUAUGACCAAAAAUUGAUAACAAUCUUCUCAACUGACUCUGAAAUACUGAGUUAUCUGGAGAAUUAGGUCAUCUUCUUCUUUAACUGCUUAAAAAUGACUUCUUAUGGCAUGAAAAAAAAGAGGGACCUAAGGCACAAAUAAUUAGAAGAACAUACCGAAUACCUAAAGCUUGACCUGGUCCGAUAUUGCGCACCUUUGAGAAAAGUAUCAUAUGUAUCGGAAAUCGAUGUGGCACACAAAUGGGUUUUCACAAAAUGGAAUUAAUUACCUCGGACAAAUCCACAUAAAGUUUCUCUUGUGAUGGACCUGGGAGAGGGGGAACAUGUCCUCAGAGCAAACUCCAUUACUUCUGGCAAUUUCACAGAUUCCCAAACUCGAUCACAUUGUGAAUUCAUCCAUCUCUCCAUUGCUAGAAUCAGUCACAUUUUGCUUAGAGAAUUGAGCAUGAACUUCUGGAAACAUCUGAAGAUGUGGUUCGUGGAGGAACUUGCAAAUAAUUCAAGCCUGCAAGAAUAGUUUGUACUAUUGAGGGAAGCUAAUAGAUGAUAUUAUAUCCAAAAUAGCAGCAGAACAUCUAAAGAUUAGUUCAAUUCCUGUUAGUUUUUGUACGUUGAUAAGCUAAUAGAUGUUAACUUGUGUGACAGGAUGACAGUAUAUUCAUUUUAACAGCAGUGACUUACUUGUAGAAUUGACCUCAGUGUCGGGUCCUGGAGACCAUAGAAAACCUAUAGUCAAUGGCAAGUUCUGAGAAUAGUAGUUAUUGCAAUCCAUCUGCUUUGAAGUCCGACCAUUCCAAUGCUUCAUAUCAUAGUCAAGGUACAAAGCACAUUUUAUUUUAUUUAUGGAUCAUGUGUAAACCAAGGUGUACAUUAUACACCUUUGCUUACACAUCAUGUUGAAAAUUAAUUAUGCAAACGAGUGCUAGCAGAUCUAUCAUAAUCCAGAGCUUUAUUAAUUUCCAGCAAAUAUCCACGUGAAAGGACUUGAUGAACUCAACAUAAUUAUCCAACGAUUAGCAGUAUAAUGAUUAUAUAUCUAUUAACUAUGUAGAUAUUUCACCUACAAUUUUUUGGCUACUUCAUAUUCCGCUCUAAUUAGAUUUAACUAUCAUAAAAAGAAAAAAAAAAUUAUGUUCCGUCAUUUGACUAGAUAAAGAUGUACGUGAUAUCAUGAACUAUAUGUUUUGUACUGGCAUCUUCUUCUUCUUUUUUAACGAAUUUUUCUGUUUGAUAAAUCUUAGACAAGAAAAAGAGUGAAUAUCAAGCAAUAUUUAAAGUUUUGACGAAUGAUAGAGUUGUACUAUUUCGCAUGCUUGCCUUUCUAAGUUGACUGCAAACCAUACAGUUAAAGUUUGCUAGGCAUAGCUCAAUAAGUAGAACAUUGUUGAGUAGUGGGUAUUGCAUAUAAGCUCUGUUCCUGGUAUACCUUUUUUCACUAUUUUUCCUUUUCUCAUGGCUCACCCAGUAAGUACUACUUCAAAUCUUUCAUAUUACAUAAAUCGUAUUUUUUUAUAUAUUAUUUAUUAGUUCAUUUUAAACUCUAAAGGAUAAGUGUAGAGAGCGUGAUUUUUAUCUUUGCUUGAUGGAAUAUUAAUAAAAUCGUCCUUUAGUUAUGUAAAGGAUCUUUAUUAAGCCCACUGCUUGUGUGAGAAACAAUUUACACACUCACCAUUGGAUGGUUGACACGUUGAAAAAUUUGAUUACAAAAUUAAGUUCAAACAGUAAAAUAAUGAAUGUUUCUUUUACACUAAUAGUGGACCUAACCAUAAUCAAUAGAUUUAUAUAAAAAAAAAAGUAUGAAUUAAGACAUGCAAGAGAGAGACAAAGAGACAAUGAAGCAAAUGGAACAAGCGAAAAUGAGUAAAUGCGAUGCCUACUACAUGCGUUUCUGUAAAAUGAAAAUUUGAAAAAUAAGUGAAGGGUAGAAGGAAGGCGCACCUUGUUGAAUGGCAUUCCCAUCAUGACAAGAAUCAUCUCUUUGUAGCCCCGGUAAGUACCCUCAUAACUACUUAGUUUCAUGCAACCCCAUACUUCUAUCCUGCAUUCAUUUGGUAUCUUUGAGUUGGAUACAUCAGUCAACCUUUCCAACAAUCCACACCUAGAAAGAUACAAAAAACCUAAAAGCUCCAAUUCCUCAAGGCCCUCAACAACCCGUAGCCCAUUGCAUUGGUAGAUCUGCAAAGCCUUCAGCUUCUUCGAGUUUGAUAAACUGUGCAGCCCUCCCAGGGAAUCGCAGCAGCCAACUCGAAGUUCCUCUAAUGAUUCCAUUGUACUGGGAAAUUGAAUUUCAAGUAGCUUUGGGCAAUCUAAAACUUCCAUUUUAUAGAGCUUCCUCAAGCUUAACGAAAUUAUUGACAGUCGCUCGAGAAACUUGCACUCUCUCACGCCUAAAUUUCUCAAUAGUUCAAGCCCAUCCAAUUGAAUUUCUCUCAAUGGAGAGCUAUGAAGACACAAUAUGGACAAAUUUUUCAAGUUGGAAAAUUGUGGUCCAACAACUAUCGAGUCAAAAUUGUCCAUGCCAGAUAAAGUGAGUUCUCUAAGUUGAGCUAGGCAACCCAACUCUGUUGACGAAAUGGGAAAAUCCAAAAGGCCCCAGCUCAACUUCUCCAGCUUAGAUAACUUUCCAACCCAUUGCAAUUGGAAAGUUUGCAUCGGGUUUGACGGUUGGGCAGGUGCUUGUCCAAAGCCAUUAGACAAAAGCAUUUCCACUAGAUUCGUGAGGUUACUAAGAUCCGAAACUAAUUGCAAUGAUGCUGAGUGAACACGUAGACAAUGCAAACUCGAGGGAAGCUUUGGCAACUCUUGAAGCUCAUUACAAUGUGUCAAAUCCAGCUUUUGGAGUCGUGUGAGGUAAUUGAUUGCCAUCGGCACUGCACUAAUACGGGUAUAAGAAAUGUCGAGGACACUUAAAGAAAAUAGUUUGCCAAUUUGAGUCGGAAAUUCGCCUGCUAGUUGUUCACAAUGUUUGGCAUAGAGCACCUCCAACUUCUCUAGCAUUUCUAUAUUGGUGGGUAACCUCCUUAUUGGACUAAAUCCCAUCCUCAUCACCUUCAGUUGCUUCAGAUUUUUUAUCGAAUCAGGUAACUCAACAAUGCUUGUCCCUGAGAGAUUCAACUUCUGUAAUGAUGUCAAGUUGCCUAUUGAUUCUGGAAGCUCCCCCAAAUUUCGACAAUAUUUGAGUGAAAGAAACUCAAGUCUCGUAAGCUCUCCGAUGGAAAUUGGAAGUUCCACAAUUGGUGUGCCCGAAAGAUUUAGGAAUGAUAGAUGUUUUGCAUUGCCAAUUGAAUCAGGUAAACUUGUAAUUCUUGAGGACGAUAUAUCCAACUUAGACAAUGAUCCUAAUUUCCCUAUAGGGUAUGGAAGUUUCUCCAUUUGAGAGCACUUUUUGAUAGAGAAGUGCAUCAAAUUCACCAAUCCUCCAAUCUCUUCGGGCAAAGUACAAAUAUUCGUACAUCGAAUAAUGUCCAAGUGAGUAAGAACUUUCAUCUUCCCAACAGAGGAGUCAAAUUUUUGCAAGUUUAGACAGUAGUGAAAAUGCAAUGUCUCCAAACUCGGGUAACCAGUCCAUUUCAAUGUUACGAAACCGUCUCGAUAUUCAGGUAAUGUGUCAUAAGGAACUUCCAAUUUUUUUAACAUCUGCAAACGUAGUUAAAACAUUAUUAGAGAGGGGUCAAAGAAAAAAAAAAUACUAUGCUGAGAGAACAAAAGUACAAAUUCAGACUUUCAAAACUUUUCAUCCACCCUGGUUUUUGGUGUUUCUAUCGUGUGAAAGUUCGAAAAUUACUAGAUUUUUCAAGUGCAGAUUUGGUCAUUCUACAAUCUAGAGGAGGAAAACCCCAAGAAAGCCAUCUUAGCUUUAGGCAAUGAUUGUUGACGUCUCCAACAAAAGUCCCUGGCUUUAUUAGCUUUUGACAUGUAUUCAUAAAAAAGAACUUGAUGAACUCAACAUAAUUAUCCAACGAAUUAGCAGUAUAUUGAUUCAAUAUCCAUGAAGUACAUACAUAUUUCACCCAAAUUUUAUUGGCUACUUUGCGUUUCACUCUAAUCAGAUUCAGCUAUCAGGAAAAGAAAAUAUGUUCUGCUAGAUAAACGGAUAUCAUGAAUUAUAUGUUCUGUACAGGCAGCUCUAUUUUUUACCGAAUUCUUUCUAUUUAAUAGAAAACUUGAACAAAUCCUUUGACAAGAAAAAAUUGUAAUAUCAAGCAAUAUGUAAAAAUAGGGCAAAUGAUAAAGUUGUACUAUUUCACGUGCUUGCCUUCUAAUGGAGAAUGCCAAACCAUAUCGUUAGUCUAACAGGCGAAGCAGGAUAAGUAGAACAUUGUUGAGAAGUGGGUAUUGCAUAUAAACUAACUCUAUUUUUGGUAUAUAUUUUUUCACUACUAUUCCUUUUCUCGUGGCUCACCCAAUUGUAACACCUCAAAUCUUUCAAAAUAUAUUAAUUAUAUAUUCUUUCUAUAUAUUUAUUUUUUCAGUUUAAGAUAUGAAGGGAAAUUGUAGUUGUUUAAAAUAAAUAUAUUCAAACAGUUAACUAUGGUUGAGCUUCUACUUUUGUGCCCAUGCUCGAGAUUUUUAUCUUUGGUUGGGGAAAUAUUGAUAGAAUCACUUUCUUGAUAUGAAGGAUCUUUAUUACGUCAAUUGCCAGUGUAAGAAAUAAUUAUACUCAUAAUUUUUUGGUUGACAUGUGAAACAGUUAAUAAUCAUCUCAGGUGUCUACCUUCUAGACUAUUCACAAAGUGCAUCUACGCGUCUAGUUUAACGAGGUUACUCCCUAUAGGCAAAAAUUCUGUAAUUGAAAUUUAAUUUGACUCAAGUGAUAUUUUAGGAUCUCUAUCUUCUACCUUAAACUCAUCUCUCUGCUCACGAACUCCCCCAUAUUUGAAAGAAAAUUUCGAGUUAAUUUGGUUUUAGGGAACGUUUAUUAUUUUCAUUAUAGCACAAAGAUCUCUAGAGACUGCAACUUAUUUUCUGAAAACGACAUUAAUUUCAUUUUGCAAUACUUAAGCUCUUCGAUAUUUGAGAAUAUAUUGAGUUCACGAAAGAUAAAAUUUUCAUCCAACACACUCGAGAAAAAGAAAUUUUCUCACUUCAUCAACGCGAGAAGAAAUUUGGGUCCGUAGAAGAGACCAUACCUGUACGAUGAGCGGUUGGCCACGUUCGAAGAACCGCGCCGCACCCUCCUGAAAGGAAGAAGGCCGAGUAUUGAGAAAUGUUAACAGAGAAAGAACCACACAACGUGGCUGUUUAUGGAACGUAGAAAGAGAGAUAAAAGUAACGGAACAAGGGAAAGAAAAGUCAUGCCUACCGCCUGCGUUUCCGAAAAAUUAAAGUUUGAAAAAUAAAUGAAGGGUAGAAGGAAUGCGCACUUGGCUUAAUCCCCUCCUCGUCCAGUCAAGAAUCUUCCCUCUAUAAUCCCCGUAAUGGCAAAAACCGGAAGCGGGUAACUUCUCACAGUUUUUUACAUCUAUCUUGCAUUCAUUUGGUAUCUUUGAGUUGGAUAGAUUAGUCAACACUUUCAACGAUGGACACGUGAAGAAAUACAACCACCGCAAAAGCUCCAAUUCUUCAAGGCCCUCAAUAACUCGUAGCAUAGGGCACAUGCUGAACAUUAAAGUCUUCAACUUCUUUGAAUUUGAUAAACCAUACAACCCUCCUAGGUAUUCGCAGUCUCUAACUCUAAGUCUCUCCAGUGAUUCCAUUGUACUGAGAAAUCGAAUUUGAAGUAGCUUUGGGCAAUUUUUAACUCCCAUUCUAGAGAGCUUCCUCAAGCUCGAUGAAAUAACUGACAAUCCCUCCAGAAACUCGCAAUAUUUCACAACCAAAUCUCCCAAUAGUUCAAGCCCAUCGAGUUGAAUUUCCCUCAGCGGACAGCAACAAAGAUGCAAGGUGGACAAAUUUUUCAAGUGCAAAAAUUGUGGUCCAACAACUACCGAGUCGAAACUAUCCAUGCGAGAUAAGGUAAGUUUUUUAAGUCGAGGUAAGCAACCCAACUCCUUUGAUGGCACGGGAAGAUCUGAAAGGCACAACUCCAAUUCCUCCAAUUUGGAUAACUUCCCAACCCAUUGCAAUUGAAGAGUUGAUGCCUCAGCAAGUGCCUGCCCAAAUUUGUUGGACAGUUUCAAAUUCAUUAGAUUUGUGAGGUUACUGAGAUCCGGAACUAAUCGCAAUGAUGCCGAUUGAAUAGAUAGACAAUUCAAACUCGAGGGAAGUUUUGGCAACUCUUGAAGCUCAUCACAAAAUGAUAAAUCCAGCUUUUGGAGUCGCGUGAGAGAAUUGAUUUCCAUCGGUCCUGCACAAACACAGAUAUGUGAUAUGUCUAGGAUACUUAGAGACAACAGUUUGCCAAUUUCAGUUGGGAGUUCACCUGCAAGUUGUUGACAAUAUCGGACAUUGAGCUCCUCCAACCUCUCUAGCAUGCCAAUACCGAUAGGCAACCUCUGUAUUGGACAACUUUCCAUCUCCAUUACCUUCAAGUGCUUGAGAUUUUUUAUCGAAUUAGGUAACUCAACAAGUUUUGUUCUUGAGAGAUCCAAAUUUUGUAAUGUUGUCAAAUUACCUAUUGAUUCCGAAAGCUCCACAAAAUUUUGACAAUUAGAGAGUGAAAGGAACUUGAGUUGUGUAAGCUCUCCAAUAGAAAUCGGAAGUUUCUUAAUUAACGUGUAUGAUAGAUCAAGGGAUGAUAGGUUCUUUGCAUUACCAAUAGAAUCGGGUAAACUUGUAAGUUUUGUUUGUGAUAUCUCCAACUUAGACAAUAAUAUUAGUUUCCCGAUGUCUGGAAGUUUCUUGAUUUUGUGACAUCCCAGGAUAGAAAAGUGCUUUAGAUUCACCAGUCCUCCAAUCUGUUUAGGCAAAUUUCGUAGUAAAUAACACCAAUGAAUUUGCAAGUGAGUAAGAUCUUUUAGUUUCCCAAUAGAGGAGUCAACUUCUUGCAAGGAUUGACCGUGAUCAAGAGAUAGCAUCUCCAAACUCAUGCAUCCAGAAAAGUCUGGAGUCUGCUUCAAACCAUUACAAUACCUAAGAGAAAGAACUUUCAAUUUGUUUUCCAUCUGCAAAGGUCACUGAAAUAUUAUCAGAGAGGAUUAAACAGAGAAUACUACGUGUAUUUAAUAGAACAAAAGUACGAAUUCACACCUUCAAAAUGUUCCAUCCGCCCCAGUUUUUGGUGUUCAUAUUAUAUGAAAGUUCAAAAAGUGCUAGAUUUUUCAAGUGCAAAUUGGCCAUUCUACAAUCUAAAGGAGGAGAGCGCCAAGAAAGCCAUCUUAGUUCUUGGAGAUAAUUGUUGAUGUCUCCGGCAAAAGUCCCAUUAUAUAACUUGAGAAAUUUUAGAUUUGGCAUCCUCUCAAGUUCUUCAUCCACAAUGCUGAUGGGAUCCGAAUUAUAUUGACCUAAAUUGAGUACUUUAACUUUGUCCUUUCUCUGCCAAUAGAAACCAUCAACGAGUAUGAGCUUACAAACAUUAAUUUGUCCAUUAGAAUGCCUAAAAGGAAUAUCUUAAAUGGGAAGUGGAAAAUAAUUUCAUGGUGGAUAAUGUAUGGAUCCUACUUUUACUUUACCUUUUUUGAUCUCAUUACUUCCAGAGCUUCUUUGUCAUUCCACAACCUAUUAAGGGUACAUUCUUUUCGAACAAUGUCUCUUCCGAGGUCUCUCAGCUGAUCAUGCAUCCAUAUAGCAUCAUCGCCAAUGAUUUUAAUUAGACACAAAUCAGUAAGUUUUUUUAAUGAGUUAUGGGGAUAAAGACGGCAAGCAUCCCAAAAAUAGGUUGCCCAUAAUUUCUUUCCAGAUAUGAAGAAGCAUGCAAUAUCAAGAAAAACUUCUUUUUCCACAUCUCCUAAUGCAUCAUAACUUAUCUUCAACUUACCCCGGACUUCAUCAUGAGGUACGUUCUUCAACAUUUCUAGCAUUUCUUUCCAUAUUUCCUCCUUUUGGUCAUGAAGAUAGGAACCUAUGACUUCAAGAGCCAAUGGGAGUCCCCUGGUCAUAGAUACAACUUCUUGAGAGAGACUU